This 77216-nucleotide long non-coding RNA is filed under the name Triticum aestivum (bread wheat). Its description in RNAcentral is "long non-coding RNA (TAES_LNC025374)". The record is from RNAcentral. Lineage: Eukaryota; Viridiplantae; Streptophyta; Magnoliopsida; Poales; Poaceae.
UCAAGCGCUUCUUUCUAUCUAUAUAUAUACACUAUCUAAAUUGUUUGCAACGGCAUUAUGCACAUGAGGCAGGACUAUACAAGUGAAUUGUCACAGUAAGGUCCUUCCAUGGAUUUCAUGUGGCUCCUUGAGUUGUAAGAUGCAGCUCCAACAUUGAAUAUAUUUUGAAUGUUUCCAAAGAUACUCUCUGUUACAUUUACUUCAAUAUAUACAUGCAUGUUACUGAUAGAAGCUGGCUGCAGGAAUCCGUAUACAUAUAUAAUCUCUUGUAUAGUACAUUGCUAGAUCACUCACUAGGCAUUAUGUAAUACUACUAGGAGAUAUGGGUGAGGGACUAAAAGGAUGAUAUGCUUCCAUGAAUUUAUUUGUAAGAAGUUUUUCUUGGCUAUGUACAAAUAAGCCCAAAUGAAUUUAUGUUCUUUUUUACUUCCAGAGUUACAGUGCACUCAUAGUGUCAUCACAUUGCGUGUUCUUGCUGCAUAUACCUCUCUAUUUGCUUAGGCAGACAACUACUUAUGUAAUAUGCAAACAACAGCAACAGAGCUAGUGAUGCUAAUUCUACCUCCUGUUACAGAAUCAGAAUUCCUCUUGUUGCACAGGACAACUCCGUUUCCUCUUGUUAUAUAAUCAGAAUUCCUCUGCUUCUUAUGCUACUCUGCUAGAACUAUGCUUUUCUACUUGUCAUAUUGAAUAUACAUGUUCUAAACAUUAUACAGUACUUUCGUUGUUAACUCCAAACAACUUGGUACCUUCUCUUCUGCAUGCAGAAACUAGCUUACCAGUACACCGCCAAGGGGGCAUGCCUUGCCCUGGUAGCAAAGAGGAGUGGAGCCUGUGGCAGGCCGCCAACCGCGCCUUCGAGCUCGGCGCGGCGAACGUGAUCAUUCUCCCCGGGGACGUCGCAUACCCCGACGACUACAAUAGAUUUGUUCAGGCCACAAUCGACCACUACGGCCAAUGUAAGUCAGCCCCUCUCCGUUACAACUAACCUGGUUUAACAUAUUUCUUCCACAAGCAGUCAUUCAUUUGGGUGUAAGAUAGUUGACAUUUACACUUGCAUAUGUUUAUCAGAAUAUUGAUACUUUGCAUGCUAUGAGUAAAAUGCUCUAUUUUCUUUCGUCACCUUCUUGUAUGAAUGAUUAUCUCAUUUUAACUUGCUGGAGAAUGAAAGCAUUGUACUAGCUGAAUUUGUCUUAUCAUUCUAAAGAACUUGUUUGUUUUUUGAUUGGUUUGUUCAUAAUAUAUUGGCCCCAAAAGUUUUGAUUCUUCUCUUCUGGUUCAUGUAACAGGGCGACCACGGAAGGCAUGAUGAUAGUUCAUAUUGUCAUUCUGUUAGUCCAGUGUAAUGAAGGUCAUGGCCUAGUCAAGUAUGGUUUCCCAUUGAGUCGUGCAUAUGUUUCAUAUGAUUGGAGCAGGGGCCCAGUUUGUGCCAAUUGUCACUGCAUAUGUUUAACAGUGAUUCUACUUGUAUAUGUGUUAUUACACUAGUAGAAUUUGUACCUAUGCGAUGACUGGAGCAGGAUCCCAAUAUUUGUAGAGAUUGUAACAUUGAUUGUCACUGUAUACAGAUUGAUUCUGGUUGCUGUUACUUGAAGUAUUCCUUCUGUUUUAUGUCUGUUGAUUUAAAUGUUGAUUAUUUAUUUACUGUCAAAUCAAAAUCAGAAGAAAAAUGCAUUGAAAAAAGGGGCCCACUCCAAUGGGACCCAUCUAACUAGAGGAUUUUUUUGAAAGAAUAAAAAUAAAACUGUCUAGCCGAAAAGGCCAUGGCCCAAAAAUGAGAAGGCUUAAUUUUUGGGCUUGGCCCAUCUACCUGACCAAAAUUAAUAUGAGAAAAAACAAAUAGGCUGAAUUGUUGGGCUUGGCCCAUGUAAAACACCGAAUCGGACCGGGCUGAUUCUUGUGCCACAUCAGCUUGCCACGCUGGAUGCCUACGUGGUCUGGGGAGGUUGCUAGUGACCAAAAAUUUGGUCAUGGAACCAACGACCUUUUACAUAUCACAAAGAAGGUCACUAAUUUCAGUUUAAGACCGCUAGCUUUUGACCUUCUGUUUUUGGUCACAAAAAGGUCGCAAAUGAAAAACUAUGACCUUUCAACGGCCAAUAGUGAGGGUCACAAGUUGACAUAUUUCUUGUAGUGUGGUUCUAGACUCUGCGGCGGCUGGAAUUGAUUUUCGUCAACUCCCCUAGGGUUUCUAGAAUAUUGGGGUAUUUACAAAGCAAAGAGUCGGUUUGGGAGGCACCCAAGGUUGUGCUCCCCUCGGAGCACCCCCCAGGCGCUUCUCCGACCCACUGGAUGUCUUAUGGUCCAAAUAUCCACAAAAAGUUUCACUGUGUUUGGACUCCGUUUGGUAUUGAUUUCCUGCGAUGUAAAAAACAUGCAGAAAAAAGCAACUGGCACUUGGCACUAUGUCAAUAGGUUAGUACCAAAAAUGAUAUAAAAUUACUUUUAAAUGGUUAUAAAACAUCCAAGAAUGAUAAUAUAACAUCAUGGAACAAUAAAAAAUUAUAGAUACAUUGGAGACGUAUCAGCAUGCCCAACAUUAAUUCCUGCUCGUCCUCGAGUAGGUAAAUGAUAAAAACAGAAUUUUUGAUGUGGAAUGCUGCCUAACAUGUCAUCUCAUAUUAUUUUCUUUGUAGCAUGGACAUUUAGACUUUUAUAUUUUUCAAAUCAAUAGUCUAGUUUUGACAUGAGACUUAAAUACUCAAGCAUAUCAACAAGCAACCAUGUCUUUCAAAAUAUCAAUGCUAAAAUAAGUUAUCCCUAGUCCAUCCUGCUCAAUCAUUGAUCCAUUCAUGAAACACACUCGCAUAUUAGCUACACCCAAUGCUCAAGUACGAUCAUAGUGCCCCCUAGUUGGUGCUUUAUAAGAGAAGAUGGAGACUCAAAUUAAAAAUAAAAAUAGCAUAAAGUAAAAUAAAGGCCCUUCCCAGAGGGAAGUAGGUAGAGGUGCCAGAGCUCAAAGUGAAAAUUGAGAGAUAAAAACAUUUUGAGAGGCAUACUUUUCCCACCAACAAAAACGACUUAGAGCUCCCAACCCUUUCCAUGCUAGAUAUAUCAUAGGCGGUUCCCAAAUAGAAAAUAAAGUUUAUUCUUUUUCAACCAUACUUUCACUUUCCAUGGCUAACCGUAUCUACAGGUGCCUUCCAUAACAACACUUUUUAGGGAAUUUAUUAUUGGAAAACAUAUAGUAAAUUCAUGUUUCAUUUUGGGACUGGGCAUCCCUAAUACCUUUGCCUUACUGUCGUGCAAUGACAAGUGAAUAAACAUUCAUCGUGAGAAUAACACAUCUAGCAUGGAAAAUAUUGGCCACCCAUCACCGCCUCGCGAGCGGUACGAGCACACAAAAGAGAAAUUUAUUUUGAAAAUUAGAGAUGGCACAUACAAAUUUCCUUAGAAUGACAAAAGAGUACCUUAUAUAGGUAUAUAUAGUGAACUCAUGUGGAAAAACUGGUUUAAAGGAUUUUGGAUGCACAAGUAGUGAUCAUACUUAGUGCAAAAUGAAGGCUAGCAAAAGAUUGAGAAGCGACCAACCAAGAAACAAAUAAUCUCAUAAGCGAACAUUAAGCAUAAUUAACACCGAAUAAUGCACCACAAGUAGGAUCUAAUUUCAUUGCAUAACUAUUGACUUUUGUGCUUGCAUAGGGAAUCACAAACCUUAACACCAAUAUUCUUACUAAAGCAUAAUUACUCAUCAACAUGACUCAUAUAUCACAUCAUCAUAUCUCAAAACUAUUACUAACAAUCAAGUUUAUUUUGUCCAAUGAUCUUAAUAAAAGUUUUUAUUAUAUCCUUCUUGGAUGUCUACCACUUUGGAACUGAUUUUCAUGUGUUGCUUUUGAUAAGCUCAAACAAAUAUAAGUGAAGAUCACGAGCAUAAUUUUUUUCUUUCUCUCAAAUUAAUUUAAGUGAAUCAAGAGAGAAUUUCUUGAAAAUGUCACUAACUCUCAAUUAAAUAUAAGUGGAGCAAGAGAGCAUUUCUUCAAAAAUACUAAAGCACACCGUGAUAAAAAAGAUAUAAGUGAAGCAUUAGAGCAAAUCCAUAGCUCAUAAAAAUUUAAGUGAAGCAUAGAGAGCAAUUCUAACAAGUCAUGGCAUAAUUUUGGUUCUCUCAAACAAGUGUGUCUAGCAAGGAUUCACGACUUAAAACACCAAGAAAAACAAGCAAAGACUCAAAUCAUACAAGACGCUCCAAGCAAAACACAUAGUAUGUGACAAAUAAAAAUAUAGCUUCUAGUAAAAUACCGAUGGUCGUUAUAAGAAAGACGGGAUGCCACACGGGGCAUCCCCAAGCUUAGUUGCUUGCUUCUCUUUGGCUAAUAGCUUGGGAUGCCAUGGUCAUCCCCAAGCUUAGGCUCUUCUUACUCCUUAUUCCUUCAUGCAUCGUAACAUCACCCAAAACUUGAAAACUUCAAUCACACAAAACUCAACAAAACCUUCGUGAGAUCCGUUAGUAUAAGAAAGCAAAUCACUACUAUAAGUACUGUUGCAACCCAUUCAUAUUUUAUUCUUGCAUUAUAUCUACUAUAUUCCAACUUUUCUAUGGCAAAAACUCUUCAAAUAAAACCAUAGAAUCAUCAAAACAAGCACACAACGCAAAGAAAACAGAAUCUAUCAAAAACAGAACGGUCUGUAGUAAUCUGGAUAUCUCAAAUACUUCUGUAACUCCAAAAAUCCUGAAACAUUAGGACAACCUAAGCAAUUUGUAUAUUAAUCUACUGAAAGAAGAAUUGGCAUUUUAUCAUGCUCUGGAUAAAAAUGAAAAUUAUUUUCAUGAGCGUGAAAGUUUCUAUUUUUCGGCAAGAUCAAACAACUAUCACCCAAGAAGAUCUAAAGGCUUUACGUGGCACAAACACUAAUUAAAACACACAAAACACAAUCAUAACAGUGGCAUAAUUGUGCAAACACUCAAGAACAGAAAGCAAAAAGCAAAAAUAAAAUUUAUUCAUUGGGUAGCCUCCCAACAAGCGCUAUUGUUUCACGCCCCCUAGCUAGGCAUAAGGCAGAGGAUCUAAGUUUUGUCAUCCUUCUCCAACUCUUUAAUCAAACACUUAGAAUUCUUCAAAAAUUUAGCAUAAAGUUUUUCAAUGACAAUACUCCUAGGAAAAAAAUUAAAGAAUUCAUUUUUUCCCAAGGGAUCUCUUAUAACUUCAACAAAAUCAGGGUGAAUACCAAUCAUCUUAAGAUCCUCUUUAUUGUUAUUACUAGAAGUUGCACCCCUAUUCUUAGUAACUUGAGUAGUCUUGCCAAUCUUUACGGCAGUUUUUUCAAUAGUUUUUGCAGAAGCAAAAUUUGUGCUUAAAUUACUAAAGAUUUCUUCCAUUUUAUCAAUCCGGGACGGGCUUUCUUCAAUUCGUUCAUGAAUUAUGGUCCCCUUUUCUUUUAACAACUUAAAAACUUCUCCCGCUUUUGACCCAAUCUUAGUAGAAAAAUUAUGCAUCUUUUUAUCUAAGUUUUCAAUAUGCUCUUCAGUAAGCAUUUUCUUUUCAAUAUCAUCUAAUCUUUCCAUGACAUGCUCAAGAGUCAAAGUUGUUUUAUUAAUCAUAAGAGGUGGUGAGCCUACCAAAUUUCCCAUAGCAUUAAAACCAUCAAGAAAGGGACACAUCAAGAAAUUUCCAUCGGUAAUCAUAUCAAGGACGAAUCAAUACCAAGUGGUGAUGCCUACAUAAAAACAACAAAGAAGAACAACGGUAGAUUGCUUACAGAUAGAUCUAUUAUGUGCAUUGCAAAUUCUAUACCAAGCAUCUUUUAAAUUUUCUCCUCCCCUUUGUUUAAAGUUGAGAACCUCGUUCUCGGGGGUGCAUGCAAUAGAGGAAGAACUAUCCAUAAUGACAAUAAUGGCAAACAAGAUUGCACACAAAAACAGAUCCGGCAAGAAAACGACGAACGAAAAAGAGGGCGAAUAAAACGGCAAAUUUUUGUGAAGUGGGGGUGUUGGGGAUAUAGCUAUCAGCUAUGACCCGCCCAGGAGGGGCCGGGUCAGCCCCAAUGGCGGGUCACAAAGGAAGCCUAAUAAACAUUCACGAUGAUAGUUUAUUAAAGAUUAUAAAAGGCCUAAGGCCAAGAGGCGGCUUAAGGCCCAAUAUUGUAAACCGCCGUAUGUAAGGAAAGGCUUGUAAAGAAAGUCAUGUAAAAGAAGUCACUGAGCCGGACACGUUUUAUGAGCCAGCCGGGACUCUGUAGGCCACCAGGCGUCAACCCGUGUAUAUAAGGGGACGACCCAGUGGCGGCUUAGGGCAAGAAACAAGAGAUCGAUAACCAAGCCGGCGAACUAGCCUCUUGGUGAUCGAAACCCCAGCAAUAUCAACACAACUAGACAUAGGCUUUUACCUUCAUCGUAAGGGGCUAAACUAGUAUAAAACCUCUGUCGGGGAAGCUGAUCCACCAACACCUAUGGGGACCGGGCCCCUUUCGGUUCGGAGGGGGGCGGAGGCCGCACAAAGAGCGGAUCGAGGCGGUACACGCGGGCAGUUUUUACCCAGCUUCGGGCCGCACGGAUGCAUAAAACCCUACCGCUGCUUGUUUGUGUGUAUUGAAUUCUUGCUCAGGAGCGAUGGACGCUGCCAGACCGAGCGUGAGAGUGUUCCUGAUGUUUUGAAUGAGCCGAACCCCCUCUACGUUGCGCUUGGGCCUCCUUUUAUACUCUCAAGGGGUCACCGACAGGUGGCAACAUAGACGAGAGGGGUAGAAAUGGAAAAAGAAUGCGGUAGCUGCACCUACCGCUACUAUAGACACAGUGUAUCCUACCUAACUCUGACGGCAGGGGACAGGGGCAUUGAAUGCCUGUCUGAGUUGCCUAAACAGUGCAAAAAGUGACCGUUAGGAGCGCCACCAUUUGCCACGAUGGCCUUCUCUUCAUCUCCGCUUGCCACCGCGUACCCCUAGCUGCGCGGCCUCCUGCCACGUGUGCUUGGGAGAGUCCUAGAGCGACACGUUAGCAGGUGUGCUGGAGCGCGGGCACGAAGUGGGGGUUUCCCGCGGCAAGCUCCUUGCCACGGUCAUCGUCUUGUCGUGUUUGGGAGCUUGUUGCUCACCGGGCCUUGCCGGGACGCAGGGCGCGUCGCGGCAAGCUUUCUUGGUAUGCCUUGAGUGGCCUUCUUGGCAAGCUCCUCUUGCCGGGGUCUUGUCUCUUCCGGCAAGAUCCUCUUGCCGGGGCCUGGGUUGGCCUUCCCGGCAAGCUCCUCUUGCCGGGGCCUUGGUUGGACUUCCCGGCAAGCUCCUCUUGCCGGGGCCUUGGUUUGAGUACUUUUUUCUUGAAUGGUCUUCAAGGGAACCACGGAGGGUCUUGGCGGUCACCCGGCAAGCCUUGCCGCGGGAUGCUGCGACCGCCCAUGCACAAGUUCGGGGUACUAGGGUACCCCUACUCUAGUACACCGACAGGAGCCCCCGGGCCUGGGCCAGACACGGUGCCGAACGCUGUUGGGCCAGGCCCAAAACAGGGCACGGGCACGCGCGGAGCCUGGGUUAUGCCGAAUCUAACUCCGUAUCCACCGCGCCCCCCCGUAACGGCACGCGCCAAUCGCGGGGUCGUGGGAGAGAUCGUGGGUGGUUGUUUAUUUGGAAGGCCGAAAUGUCCGCCCCGUCCCUCUUUAUAAGCAGGGGAAACAGGGGCAUUUCCCCCACCUUCGCCCUUCGCUGCUGCAAUCUCAGAAAUCUCCGCCGCCCUCCUCCGCUUCCAAAGUCGAAAGAGAGCAGCGCUCCGCUUCCAUCGCUGCCGCCACUACCAGCGCCGUCGAUCUCCCCCACCGCGCCAUGGCUCCGAAGCCCGGAAAGGGGAAGGCCGCGAAAGCUGUGAAGUCGACCGAAGCGCAGCGGCUUGAGGCGCUGCGGAAAGAGCGGGCCACCUUCCUCCCCGAGCUCUCCGCAAAGGAUCUUAGGGAGUGGUACUAUCUCUUCUGGUCGACGGAGACACGGGCGCAUCCGCACACAAAGGUACUCUCCGCCAUCACCUCGCAAGAAGCUCCAGUUGGCGGGUACCCUUUCUUUGCCGUGUUCUUCUACUGCGGGCUCUGCCCGCCAUUCUUUGAUUUCUUCUGUGAUAUCAUGAACACCUACGGGCUCCACCUCCUUGAUUUUACCCCCAACACCGUCUUGACCAUGGCAGUUUUCGCCCAUCUAUGCGAAAACUUUGUCGGAGUCCACCCCAACGUAGCUCUCUUCCGCCAUUUCUUCAUGCCCCGUGUCGAGAGAGGGGAAACCCUUGCCGGGGGGAUCGCCUGGAUCUCGCGAGCCGGCAAGAAGGAGACCUAUCUGGAGGGGGAGCUCCGCAGCAAGUGGGAUGAGUGGAGAGCAAACUGGUGCUGGGUUGUAGAGGAGAACCCGCAGCCAUUCACUGCCCUGCGCCAAGCCCCAGCAGUGCGAGGCAAUGAUUGGAGCGCUCUGUCCGCGGAUGAUGACAAGUUGAAGAUCGCCACCACCCGGAUCUUGCGCCUCAGGCUUGCCGGGUUGACUGUAGGAGCUGUCGGCGCAGAUUUCCUCUGCCGCCGCAUCGCCCCCCUGCAGGCAAGGGGGAGACCCGCCUGGGAAUUUGGAGGCCCGGCAGACAUCAUGAGGUUGCGCCCAGGCCUCAACUUCAAUUUCACCGUCAUAGAAUUGGACGGGAUACUUAAGGAAAUAUUCAAGCACGACCCGCAGCAUCCCGAGUGGUUCAGGUUGCCGGCAGGCGUCGUGCCUCUCUGUAACAACUCCUCGCGCAACCGCAUCUGCGCAAUGAUGCCGUUGUGUGACUCGCACGGGAUUGCUCCAACUUGGCAAGAGCCCGCCGGCGAUGUCGUGCAGCAGUUCUUCGACAGCCUUGUGGAGGUCGCGGUCAAUGCUGACGAGAAGAAACUCCUCACCCGCGACACCACUGAUCAAGAGAUGGAGUGCAUCGCCACCAGGGCGGAAGAGGCGGCGGCAGCCGCGACCGCGGGUGAAUUCGGGUUCACCGUGGAGGAGGCGGACGCGGCGUUGGCGAUGAGUGUUGCCGAAUGGGAGCAGCCCGAAGAGGAAGAAGAGCUCGCCGCGCCCGACGCCGAGUCGAACGAGCCCGCCGAGGGUGCGAGCGGCCCGCCAUCUCCGAGGAGCUUGCCGCGAGCAGGGCCCGCAGUGCAGCCCCCAGCGCAGCCAAGAAGGCGCCUCCGCAGGGUUGGCGACAUAGCAGGGCGGCAAGUGGGCCAACAGCCGCAGCGUCGCGCGACGCACUCUACCGCGGCAAGUACGGUUGCCGCGGGAGCGCCUCCCGCCGUAGCGACAACUGAAGCGGGGCCGUCUCGGGCUGGCACUGCAGCCCUCGCCAAGCGGUCAAGGGAUCCCACCCCUCCACCUCGUUGCGCUGGAAGUGGGCCGAACUUCGACCUCUCCGCGCUCAGCUCCGACGAGGAGGAAGAAGAAGAAGAGUAAGAUUCCCUUGCUUGUUCUUGUAGUUCUUCAACUUGCUGAUCUUGUCUUGCAUCGGAUCUGAUCCACCCUGGACUCUCCCUUUUUAGGACUCUGGCCCAGAGGGCGGCGAAGAGGGCCAAGGCUCAGGUGGUGGUCAUCGAGGACGAGCCCACUGCGACGACAGGAGGCGCGCCCGAAACCACCUUGCCGGAUCCGGCCAUCACUUCGCAGAGCAGCCCCCAGCGCAGCCCCCAGCGUAAGCAUAUGGUUUACUUUCUGCUUCUGGGUGCGCGUGGUUGCUCUUUUUCUUUGUUGACAUCUGAUCACUGGUUUGUUUGUGCAGGAGCAGAACAGCUUCAUCAGGAGGGCGUGGUGAUCUCCUCCGACUCGUCGUCUGCUUCGACUACGCCGCCAAGGGCGGACUCCCCGGCAAGGGAGCAUUCUCCGGUAAGGGAGGAGCCUCCGGCAAGGGAGGAGUCUCCGGCAAGGGACAGCGCUAACGAUCCGCCGGUGGUGGAGCUUAUGACAGCGGAUCCCAGCACAGGUAAUCCUUCCUGCCCGAAACUUUCUUUGUAUUCUUCUGCUGAUUUUUCUUCUUGAGUGCUUGUUUGACUUUCAUUCUUCUCCGGUCGUCAGACCCACCCUCCGCGGAUCCGAUGGAGACCGAGGCGGGCAGUGAGGAGGACGCGCGCGGCAAUACUGAUGAUGCUGCGGCCACCGAAGAAGGAGCCGGCGCUGACGUGCCCGCCGGCGAAGAGGCCGCCAAGGCUGCCGCCGAGGAAGCUGGCGGGGGAUCUGGCGAUUGCACUGACGGCCCUGAGGCCGCAGGAGCGUCAGGCGCUGUACCGACCGCCGAUCCCUCCGCCGCUGCCGCAGCGUCAGGCUCCAAGGAGCCCCAGCCCGGCGCCUAUCUGAAGGCUGGCGAGGGCAUCUGCAUCAAGCUCCCCUGGGCGUCGAGCUCCAGGGCGCCGAUGGAAGGAGAAGCUCUGGAUGGGGGGUGCUUGCCUCCGCCGGGUUGUCGAUCAUCGACGCGCCGGGAAGCAGCAGCGGCGAGCCUGAGGAGGAGAGGCUGCUGCGGAGGCUGCUGGUGCUCUACCGCGCCCGCCAAGUCAAGUUGGAGUCCCGGGAAGCGCUUGUCGCGAGGGCGAGCGUGGACAUAGAGAAGCGUGCGGAGGAGCUCCGGGGUCUUCGCCAAGAAACUCUCCGGGCCUUGGCGGAGGAGCGGGAGCAGCUUGCUGAGGAGCGGAAGGCCUUCCUCCUUGAGAAGGCUGAGGCUGAAGAGCAGCAGCGGCUCACCGGCGAGAAGCUGUACGCGCGAGAAGGCGAGCUGACUCAGCGGAAAGUGAACCUCGACAGCCAUGAAGAGGAGCUUGCCGCGCGCGAAUGGGCACUUGGCGGGACGCUCCAAGAGGCAAAGGAUGCGGCUGCGGCUGCCGAGGCCGCCAAGAAAGAAUUGGAGGCAAAGGUGGCGCAGCUAGAAGCUGAUCUGAAGGUUGGUGGCGAAGAGCUUGCCGCGCUCAAGCUAGAGCGCGAGAAGGACGCCCUUGCCCACGGUGAGCUGCAGGGCCGACUCGCCGAGAGGGGCAAGGAACUGAGCGCCGCCAAGGAUUCCAACGCAGAUCUGACGCUGAAGCUGGCCACCUUGACGAAGACGUUGGACAGCGCCAGGAAACGGGAGGCAGACUUGAAGAAGGACAUCCAGGCCAACGAGGCGCUGCUAGCAAGGGCCGCCGAAACCCAGAAUCUUCUCAGAGAUACCGUGGCGCUCUGGACGGAGGGCCUCGUGAACGUUGCUGCAGUCAUCGAAGAGGAGCUGGUGCAAUUGGGGGUGGAAGGCUUCGGGUACUCCUCCGACAAGAACCUCCAACCCAGCGCCAAGCUCACUCUGUUCUUCAAAGGCGUGGCGGUGGCGCUCCAGCAACUCCGGGAACGGAUCCCAAAGCAGUUGGGCGACGAGUCACGCUCGAUUUGUGCCGGAGUUCUGGAGAAGGUGCUGGUGAAGGUGGCCUUCCGCAAUCCGGGCCUCAACCUCACCAACGUCCUCAGGAGGCUGCCGACGGACGCUGAUCUUGACGCACUUAAGGCCCUCGUCGCACCCAUUGUGGACAGGGUGAACGAGGUCAAAAGGGUUGACGGCGAUCGCGUAGAUUAGGCCGUCCGUUUUCUUGUUUUCUUGUCGCUGCCAGUCAUGUCAUGGGAACACUUUAUUAGAGGCGCGACAAGUUAUUUUUGUAAUAUAACUCUAUCUUAGGCAAAAAAAUGUUGUGUUACUUCCUUUACUCGACUCUUGGCUUUGUAUGCUUCUGCCCUACGCUUUCUAGGGAAACUUGCCGGCGCAGGCACCCUUGCCGCGAGCGCCGAGUGCGGAACUUCAGCAGCAUGCUGGCGAGGUCGCUACCGACAAGCAACCUUGUCGCAACUAGUUGCAGCUCACUUAAGUUGUUGAGUGGACCCGAAACAAAGUAAGGGCGCUAGCAGCUCACUUAAGUUGCUGAGCGGACUCGAAGCAAAGUAAGGGCGCUAGCAGCUCACUUAAGUUGUUGAGCGGACUCGAAACAAAGUAAAGGCGCAACUAGCUACGAGUUGGUUCCUCCGCGCACAGGUUUUCCAUACAAAGCACGGUCGUUCAAGGAAAAUAACUCAAAAACUUAAAAAACUGAUUGCUCGAACUUUAGCAACUUAGCUUUUCUGUCAUCUGCUACCCGGCAAGGAGAAACUUUCUUGAACGGCCUGGUCCACACCAUUAUCUUCUCCUCCCCCCCCCCCGGUAAACCUUGUGGGCAAGGGAACCUUCCUUCUUUUGAGAAAGAAAUAGAGAAAUAAAGUAAUGAUAUGGNNNNNNNNNNNNNNNNNNNNNNNNNNNNNNNNNNNNNNNNNNNNNNNNNNNNNNNNNNNNNNNNNNNNNNNNNNNNNNNNNNNNNNNNNNNNNNNNNNNNNNNNNNNNNNNNNNNNNNNNNNNNNNNNNNNNNNNNNNNNNNNNNNNNNNNNNNNNNNNNNNNNNNNNNNNNNNNNNNNNNNNNNNNNNNNNNNNNNNNNNNNNNNNNNNNNNNNNNNNNNNNNNNNNNNNNNNNNNNNNNNNNNNNNNNNNNNNNNNNNNNNNNNNNNNNNNNNNNNNNNNNNNNNNNNNNNNNNNNNNNNNNNNNNNNNNNNNNNNNNNNNNNNNNNNNNNNNNNNNNNNNNNNNNNNNNNNNNNNNNNNNNNNNNNNNNNNNNNNNNNNNNNNNNNNNNNNNNNNNNNNNNNNNNNNNNNNNNNNNNCAUACAAAGCACGGUCGUUCAAGGAAAAUAACUCAAAAACUUAAAAAACUGAUUGCUCGAACUUUAGCAACUUAGCUUUUCUGUCAUCUGCUACCCGGCAAGGAGAAACUUUCUUGAACGGCCUGGUCCACACCAUUAUCUUCUCCUCCCCCCCCCCCCGGUAAACCUUGUGGGCAAGGGAACCUUCCUUCUUUUGAGAAAGAAAUAGAGAAAUAAAGUAAUGAUAUGGAGCCUUGGGCUCGUUAUUGCUUACCGGGGUCUGGUGCUGCACAAAGUGUCAGAUAACAUAUGCGAAAGAUUAUCAUAGCAUAAAAAAAACUGACAAGAUGUGCGGGGCACAUGAGCUUUACUGGUGCACGGGGUCUGCGCCCGGCUUUGUACAAAGGAUUACAUGCAACAGCGGCAAGACUUGUACAAAAGGUGGUUGCUGGAAAAGCUUCCGGCAACCGCGCCCUACGGGUAAAACUUACGAAGAUGUUCUAUGUUCUAGGAGUUGCUCACCGGAAUGCCAUCUUCGGUCUCAAGGCGGACAGCGCCGGGCCUAGUGACUCAUUUUACCCGAUAAGGGCCUUCCCACUUCGGCGUCAACUUGUUGGAAUUCUUGGCGGACUGAACACGCCGAAGAACAAGGUCGCCUUCCUCGAAGCUUCUGGCUUUAACUUUGCGGCUAUGGUGGCGACGCAAAGCUUGCUGGUAGCGAGCGGCUUGCACAACAGCCUGAAGACGGUCUUCCUCAAGGAGCAACGCGUCAUCUUGGCGCAACUGCUCUUGCUCGAGCUCAUCAUAAGGGAGCACUCGAGAUGACCCGUAAACGAGUUCCAUGGGGAGAACUGCCUCUGCUCCGUAAACUAGAGCGAAGGGUGUCUGGCCAGUGGCUCGAUUUGGCGUCGUCCUUAUCGACCAAAGAACCACCGGCAGCUCCUCGAUCCAGUUUCUUCCGCACUUGUGCAGCCUGUCGAAAGUUCUGGUCUUGAGGCCUCGCAGCACUUCAGCAUUUGCCCUCUCCGCUUGACCGUUGCUUCUCGGGUGAGCAGCAGAAGCGAAGCAGACCUUGGCGCCAAGAUCUUGGACAUACUGCAUGAAGGUGCGGCUCGUAAAUUGCGUGCCGUUGUCGGUGAUGAUCCUGUUAGGGAUCCCGAAAUGGCAAACAAUCGACCUGAAGAACUUGACUGCUGACUGUGCUGUCGCCUUCCUCACUGGUUCCACUUCCGACCACUUUGUGAACUUGUCGAUUGCAACGUACAAGAACUCAAAGCCCCCGAUAGCUCGGGGGAAGGGGCCGAGGAUGUCGAGCCCCCAGACCGAAAAUGGCCAGGAUAAAGGGAUCGUCUGGAGAGCUUGAGCUGGCUGGUGUAUCUGUUUGGAAUGGAACUGGCACGCUUCACACUUGGUUACUUGUGCAGUUGCAUCCUGGAGGGCUGUCGGCCAGAAGAAACCUUGUCGGAAAGCUUUGCCGGCAAGUGCUCUUGCGCCAAUGUGGUGACCACAUAUGCCUCCAUGUAUCUCUGCCAACAGCUGUUGUCCAUCUUCCCGGCGAAUGCACUUCGAUUUCACACCGUUGAGUCUUAUUCUGUACAGUGUGUUGUCGACAAACUUGUACAUACUCGACUGCCGGGCUACUCUUUCCGCUUCUUCUUGUUCUUCGGGAAGCUCUCCUGUCUGGAGGAAACGGACAAUCUGCUGCGCCCAUGCCGAAGCUUGCGGCUCGACAACAAGGGCUAAAGGCAUAUCUGUUGCUGCGGGAACAUCCGCUUCCACGGCAAGAACCUGCGGCUCUGCCAGAGCGUGAUAUUCCCCAGCAAGCUUGCCGAAGCAAAACUUGUCGGGAGCGUUUGCUUCAACGGAACAAACCAAGAGGUUCGCCGGAGCAGACUGCUCCUCAGCACUCUUAGCGUCGAUCUUGGGGACCUUCUUGGCGGCGGCUUCGAGAAGCUCUGCCGGAAAGUAGUCACUAGAAACCAACUUCCUCUUCUUUCUUUGUCUAGUCGACGGUGUUACGGAUGGUUGAGUCAGCUUGAGCACAAAAAUCCCUGGUUCCACAGGUAACUUCAGUGCUGCGCACUUUGACAGGCCGUCAGCAAUAUCGUUCUGAGCUCGUGGAACGUGCUCCAUUUGUAGGCCGUCAAAGUGUUCUUCUAGCUUUCUCACAUCAUCAACAUAAGCUUCCAUCAAUGGACUCUGGUAGUUCUUGUUCACUUGGCGGACGGCAAGCUGCGAGUCACCCCUUACAAUGAGUUUCUUGAUCCCAAGGUCGGCUGCGAUUCUGAGGCCGGCAAGCAAACCUUCAUACUCUGCAGUAUUGUUCGUUGCUUGCUCCUUGGGAAAGUGCAUCUGGACUACGUACUUGAGGUGCUCUCCGGUGGGUGUGAUAAGCAGCACGCCAGCACCGGCGCCUUGCAGCGAGAAGGCACCAUCAAAGUACAUCAGCCACUCUUUGCUUGUCUCCUUGACGGGGAUGCUUGUCUUUGGAAUUUCUUCGUCUGGGGUUGGCGUCCACUCUGCUAUGAACUCUGCCAAUGCCCUGCUUUGGAUCGUUGCAGUGCUCUCAAACUUGAGGCCAAAGCUUGACAGUUCCAAAGCCCACUCGACAAUCCUGCCUGUUGCUUCUGGAUUCUGCAGUAUCCUCUUCAGCGGAAAGCGAGUGACAACUGUGAUCUCGUGUGCCUGGAAGUAAUGGCGCAGCUUUCUCGAGGCCAUGAGAAGGCCGAAAAGCAAUUUUUGCACACCAGAGUACCUCGACCUAGCCCCUUGGAGAAGGGAGCUGACAAAGUAAACUGGGCGCUGCACCAUCUUCUUCUGCACCUCCUUGCACGUCUGCGCAGAUUCAUCUUUGUCGGGACCAGAGCUUGUCGGAGAAGCCCCCUGCUUGUCGCUGGAUUCACUUGUCGCGGUCGUUGGCUCAUCAUCCGCCUCCCUCUCCGCUACUAACGCAGCACUAACCACUUGAUUGGUUGCCGCUAGGUACAACAACAACUUCUCUUGUGGCUUAGGUGCGACAAGUAUUGGAGUGGAGGACAGGUACCUCUUCAAGUCCUGCAGCGCGUCCUCCGCUUCCGGAGUCCAUUUCAUUGGACCUGCCUUUUUCAAUAUUUUGAAAAACGGCAGGGCGCGCUCAGUAGACUUAGAGAUAAACCUGCCGAGAGCAGCCACGCAACCAGCGAGCCUUCGCACAUCCUUGACGCGCUUCGGUGCUUCAAUCUGCUCGAUGGCCUUGAUCUUGUCGGGGUUGGCUUCAAUUCCCCGCUGAGACACAAAGAACCCGAGAAGCUUGCCGGAAGGGACUCCAAACACGCACUUCUCGGGGUUGAGCUGAGGUUGAUCUUGCACAGAUUUGCAAAAGUUUCUUCUAAAUCUUGGAUCAGGGUAGCCUUGUCCUUGCUCUUGACCAAUAUAUCAUCCAUGUAGGCUUCCACAUUUCUGUGUAUCUGUGGCUCAAAAGCGACGUGGACUACCCUUGCAAAUGUUGAACCAGCAUUCUUCAACCCAAAGGGCAUCCGUACAAAACAGUAUGUGGCGCAAGGGGUGAUAAAUGCGGUUUUUUCCUCGUCUUCUUCUGCCAUGAAGAUUUGAUGGUAUCCUGAAUAUGCAUCAAGAAAUGAAAGCAAAUCACAUCCAGCUGUGGAGUCAACAAUCUGGUCAAUGCGCGGCAAGGGAAAUGGAUCUUUGGGACAAGCUUUAUUGACAUAAGUGAAGUCUAUACAAAGCCUCCAUUUCCCGUUCGCCUUGCGCACGACUACAGGAUUGGCCAACCACGUGGGAUGGAGCACUCCUCUGACAAGGCCUGCUGCUUCCAAUUUCCUGAUCUCUUCUGCAAUGAACUCUUGGCGCUCCACCGCUUGCUUCCUGACUCUCUGCUUGACGGGCCGCGCAUGAGGACAGACGGCAAGGUGGUGCUCGAUUACUUUCCUGGGAACACCGGGGAUAUCAGACGGUUGCCAUGCAAACACGUCGACAUUCGCCCGCAGGAAAGGAACGAGCGCGCUUUCCUAUUUGGGGUCAAGCGUGGCACUGAUGGUGAAGGUACCACCAGUGCCGUCCUUCUUGGCGGACACCUUCUUGGUCUCGGGUGGAGCUGCCAUCGUCUUCUUGCACUUGCCGGUGGAGCUCGAUGGUGCGUCCUCGACGGUAGCGCAGCACUCCGAAGAGGUGCGCUUGCCGGAGUGGGCAUCAGAGCUCUUGCCGGACUUUGUCUUCUUCUUCCCCCCGGGAGCUUCAGCGGCAAGUGUGUUGUGAUCAGCUGCGGCUGCUGCUUCCCGGUAGAUCUUGUCGGCGCAGAUAAGGGCAUCUUUCUUGUCGCCGGGGACAGAGAUGACACUUAUCGGGCCUGGCAUCUUGAGUAUGUUGUAUGCAUAGUGAGAGGCUGCCAUAAACUUGGCGAGCGCUGGACGGCCAAGGAUCCCAUUGUAGGGCAAUGGAAAAUCGGCAAUGUCAAAUGUGACCCUCUCAGUUCUGAAAUUCAGCUCGCUGCCAAAUGUGACCGGCAGCGUGAUCUUCCCCUUCGGCUUGCUCCUUCCCGGGUUGAUUCCUUGGAAUGUGCCGGUCUCUUCGAGCUCGCUGUCAGGGAUCUGGAGUUUCUGAAGGACCGCGGAGGAGAUCAAAUUCAAGCCGGCCCCGCCGUCAACUAGCAUCUUCGUGACCUUGAGGUUGCGGAUAGUUGGUGACACCAACAUCGGCAAGCACCCGACCGCAGUUACGCGAUUAGGGUGAUCCUCAAUGUCGAAGAUGAUAGGCGUGCUGGACCAUUUCAGAGGCUUGCGUGACUCUACGGAUGGUUCCGCUGCAUUAACCUCCCGCAUCCACUGCUUGAGUUGGCGGUGCGAAGUAUGCAGAGAAGCACCACCGUCAACGCACAGGACCUCUGUAGCUUUCUGAAAUUCCUGCUCAUCGGCCUCAUCAUCAUCCACGUCUUCGUCAUCGUCGUUGUCUUCAUCCUUGUCGCGGCCACGGGGAGGCCAAUCUCCUUGCCGCGGCGUCCUCCUCGGCCAGGACGUUUCUUGCUGGAUCCACCAGUUCCUUCCUGGGCCUUCUCCUUGUCGCGUCGCUCGUAUUCAGCUUUCUGCAGUUCAACGAGCUGCUCAACCUUCUUGCAACUCUGGAGAUCGUGGCCCUUGGUGCGGUGGAUCUUGCAAUACUGCUUGCCGGAGCCGUCCUGCUUGUCGGCGGCCGCCACAGGCUGGGCCUCCUUGCCGGAGCCACCAGCUUUAGCUUCCUUGGCGCCACCUCCGUUGCCGGUCUGCUCGACAGCUAGCACUUCCUUGCCCUUCCUUCUUCUGUUGUUUCGCCGCCGGCCUUUCCUUGUCGGGGCGGCAUCCUCACUGUCGGAUCCUCCUGCUCCUGUACUCUCUCCGGAGAGCCUCCUCCCUUCUUCAGCGCGUGCACACUUGUCGGCCAGGGCGUAAAGCUCGCUGACGUCUCUGAUCUUACACAUCGCCAUCUCCUCCCUCAUCCUUCGGUUUCGCACGUUCUGACGGAACGCGCUGAUGAUCGCGGCGGGGUGGACGUCUGGGAUGUUGUGCUGUACACGGCUGAAUCUCUGAAUGUACUUGCGCAGUGGCUCUCCUUCCUUCUGGGCGAGCAGAUGAAGAUCGCUCUCUUGGCCAUGUGGUUUGUGGCCGCCUGUAAAGGCGCCGACAAACUGAUGGCAUAAAUCUGCCCAAGAGGAGAUGGAAUUGUCCGGCAAGUGCAUGAGCCAGGACCUGACGUUGGGCUUGAGUACCAGCGGGAAGUAGUUGGCAAGGAUCUUGUCGUCCCGUCCCCCGGCAGCCUGCACCGCGAUGGUGUAGAUGCUGAGAAACUCCAACGCGUCUUGCCGUCGUACUUCUCUGGUACGUCUGGUUUGAAAUUCUUUGUGCUGGGCCACUGGACUUGCCGCAGCUCACGGGUGAACGCAGGACAACCUACCGCGUACGGCAGAUCGCCUGGUUCCCCUGGCGCAUGCAUGUCAACAGAGGGCCCAGCGCGCUUGUCGGAUUGACGUCGCGCUUCUCUUUGGCGCUCGAUGCGAGUUCGAGCGUCUUCUUGUUGUCGUUCAUGGAGAACUUGGUGCUGGUCGCGACGAGCUCGUGGGUCCGACGACGCGGUGGAGCCGCUGUCGGGGUGGACCCGGCGAGUCGGCGAUUUUGGUCUUCGUAGUGGAGAGUGCAUGGAAGUCGCACCUCCCCCAGUCUUGUUGCCAUCGGCUCGCGCCCGGCUAUCCUGCCGCGGCAGCGAGGUGCUUGGUUGCCGCGCAGUGUCACCGUUGGCGAAGCCGAUGAGGCUCUGGAUAGUGGCCCUCCAUUCGUCGGUCUUGUCUGCCGUCGGAGGAUAGUCUAGGAGCAGUUGAGCUCGCGCCAAGGCUUCUGCUGGAGUGGUGGGCGGCGGGGGUGAACGAUGCGAGGAGCAGGGCGUGCUCGGACUCCUAACCACGUUAGAAGGAGCAGUGCCCCGUCCAGGCGACCGUACUUCGCUCGAGCCAGAAUGUUGACGUGCAUGUUGGUCUUGAGCGCCACGAGAACCACCAGCUUGAUCUUGGCCCAGCGGACGUAUGGCGCUGCGAACGCCAUGACGCUGCUGGUCCCGCGCCUCCUGAGAGGGACGCGGUGCGCGCAUGGACGCCGAGGUCUGUGCCGCCUUGUCCUUGGACUUGGCCGCACUGAGGGCUCCCUCGUCGACGCCCAUUCUUCCGCCGGCGUCCACUCCACCACCCAUUUGCUCCGGAGGCGGUGAAAGCGACGCAGACGGAAUAGCUGCCUCCGAGCCCUUCUUCUUCGGUGGCAUGUCGAUGAAGACGAUGAAGAUUUAGCUCGCAUGCACGCCCGAUCGGGUUCGCACGAUCUCGACGCCCCCUACCUGGCGCGCCAAAGAUGUCGGGGAAGCUGAUCCACCAACACCUAUGGGGACCGGGCCCCUUUCGGUUCGGAGGGGGGCGGAGGCUGCACAAAGAGCGGAUCGAGGCGGUACACGCGGGCAGUUUUUACCCAGCUUCGGGCCGCACGGAUGCGUAAAACCCUAUUGCUGCUUGUUUGUGUGUAUUGAAUUCUUGCUCAGGAGCGAUGGACGCUGCCAGACCGAGCGUGAGAGUGUUCCUGAUGUUUCGAAUGAGCUGAACCCCCUCUACGUUGCGCUUGGGCCUCCUUUUAUACUCUCAAGGGGUCAUGGACAGGUGGCAACGUAGACGAGAGGGGUAGAAAUGGAAAAAGAAUGCGGUAGCUGCACCUACCGCUAUUGUAGACACAAUGUAUCCUACCUAACUCUGACGGCAGGGGACAGGGGCAUUGAAUGCCCGUCUGAGUUGCCUAAACAGUGCAAAAAGUGACCGUUAGGAGCGCCACCGUUUGCCACGAUGGCCUUCUCUUCAUCUCCGCUUGCCACCGCGUACCCCUAGCUGUGCGGCCUCCUGCCACAUGAAGUGGGGGUUUCCCGCAGCAAGCUCCUUGCCGCGGUCGUCGUCUUGUCGUGUUUGGGAGCUUGUUGCUCACCGGGCCUUGCCGGGACGCAGGGCGCGUCGCGGCAAGCUUUCUUGGUAUGCCUUGAGUGGCCUUCUCGGCAAGCUCCUCUUGCCGGGGUCUUGUCUCUUCCGGCAAGAUCCUCUUGCCGGGGCCUGGGUUGGCCUUCCCGGCAAGCUCCUCUUGCCGGGGCCUUGGUUGGCCUUCCCGGCAAGCUCCUCUUGUCGGGGCCUUGGUUUGAGUACUUUGUUCUUGAAUGGUCUUCAAGGGAACCACGGAGGGUCUUGGCGGUCACCCGGCAAGCCUUGCCGCGGGAUGCUGCGACCGCCCGUGCACAAGUUCGGGGUACUAGGGUACCCCUACUCUAGUACACCGACAACCUCUUGUGUCCUUUGUCCCGAUUAACCCCUUUAAGCUUCCUAGUUGCGAUGGCCCUACGACUAAGUCCUUUUGCUAGGACAUCUGCCGUGACAAUUCCAUGACAGUUGGCGCCCACUGUGGGGCCAACGCACGGUGGAUUUGAGUUCUUGAAGGGCAACUUCGAAGGGAUCAAGGGAUACAUUGUGGGCCGGAUGACCAAGAGUCGUCGCGGCAAGCUCUACAUCAACGAUGAAGGCUGGGGCCCCAAGGCCGGCUCAAUAGAGUACGGGUACCGGGUCCCCUUCGGCGGGAUUCAUGUCUUCAUUGGCCGGAUCAGUGAAUCGGGCCCUGAGCCGGACGUCUGCACCAACAUCAUUGAGACGGCUCAGCUCGUGAGGCCCGCCCGGGCCCGACCCGCUGUAAGGCGUGUUUUUGUGGGUUGCAUCCAUGGAGGUAAAUACUCGGAGGAACCGGUGGAUGGUGGUGAGAUGACCAUCUGUUCUGACGCUACAUCAUCAACAGGUGAGACAAAUUCUUUGUAUCAGCUGGAGGAUGGCAUGCUCGGGGGCUGUGCUGAUGGCAGCAGUAUUCCGGACCCCUUUGAGCUGCCGAAUCGAGCCGGAGUCUUCAUGGCAAGCACUCCGCCCAGACAAAACUCUACAGCUGCAGCAGCAGCAACCACCGGGUCGGCAGCGGCCGGGUCAGGAGACCCUGCGCGCCCCCCGGCACAGAUACUAAUGGAUCUCACGGAUAAGUUGACAGCUCUGUUGACUAUCGUGGUGGAGCCGGCGGAUAAGGUUCAGCAUGACGCGGAGGUUGCACGGGUACGCGAAGAGAUGGUACAAGCCAAAGACAAUUUAGCAGCAGAAGAAGUCAGGAUGGCCGCGGAACGGGCGGCGUUGGACGCCCGUGCUCAGCAGCUUCAAGUAGAGACCUUCCGGUUGUCAAUGGAUCUAAACGCGUCAAACGAGGUCAUGAGGAGAAGGCAUCAGAAAACUCAGUCAUGUCUACCUCUGACGCUCGAUCCUAGGAACCUUUUUAAUAUACUCGGGGCCGGGACAAGUAACCUGCCGAAGGCAAAUAGAAUCGCGACGCCCGGAGCACCGGUUCAGCCGCAGACCAUGGAGCCGCCUCGCAUAUACACCGCUCCGCCUCAUUAUACGCCGACACCACCGGGUCACUUCUCCAAUCCUUUGGAAAACCUCAUUGCUGCGUCGGCUUGUUUGGCGACUCUCCCGAUGGAAGGUGACUCCCCGACGGCAAUCGAAACACGCAAGGUGAGAGAACUUCUUCAGACGGCUCUGGCGUAGCAGGACGCGUACUCUUACAGUCAAGACAGAAUCCAUUCAACACCUCGCCCGAGCCGAAGCCCAAGCUACAGUAAGCAUAUGGACUCAACUAAUAUGUCAAGCAAUGCUCAACGCUGCAACCGGCCGCACAAGCAUGAGCCGGUAUAGGCUAGAGCCCUUAACUUAGCGGAUUAGGAGAGGAUCCGACAAGAAGUUGAGCGCGCGGUUCAACUAGCAGCAAAGCAGGCGGCUCAUCAGAUGUUUCCGGCCUAUCCAGCAACCUCGGUUGAGGCAGGAGUGGCCACGAGAACCGGAGGUGUCCCUUGCCUGGUGCCGGACAUACGUAAUGAGCGCUUGCCAAAAGACUUCAAGGGGCCUCGUAAGGUGCCUAAUUACACGGCUGACUUGCAGCCUGGGGCCUAGAUUGAGAGUUAUGAGAUGGCAAUUGAGUUGUUGGAGGUCAGUGACGUGGCAAUGGCUAAGUAUUUCACUAUGAUGUUGGAUGGAACAGCUAGCACUUGGCUAAAAGGAUUGUCCCCAAUUCCAUCGGCUCAUGGGCGGAGUUAAAAGCCUGGUUCAUUCAGAACUUCAAGGACACAUGCAAACAACCUAUGUCAAUCGUGGACCUGACUAAUUGUAAACAAGAGGAAGAUGAGUCCACAACCCAUUGGGUGCGCCGGGUCAAGGAGAUAAUUCAUUCAUCUGAUAAGAUGGAUGCCGGCUCGGCAGUCUUAAUGUUGGAGAAAAAUUGCCGUUUUGAACCUCUGAAGCAGAAGCUGGGACGGCUUAAACGUGACUGCAAUGACAUGUGCCAGUUGAUGGUGGCUCUCAUCAAGUAUGCUGAUUCUGAUAGUACCAAGGACCAUGUGUCUGAUGAAGAAAAGAUAGGGAAGGGAAAGAAGAACGGCAACGGCAAGCGUCACCAGCAUAACUCGGCAAAUCAAGGAGGUAAUAAACGUAAGGCUGACGAAUUUGUGGCUAUCCCCAAUGCGCAGGGAAACAAUCAACGGUGCAAGGGUAGGCAACCCCCUCGGUCAGGCGGGUCAGGUCCCACCCUUGAGCAACUAUUGAAUGAACCUUGUCCAAGACACGACACCCAGGAGAAGCCAGCCACCCAUCUGUGGAAGGACUGUACAAUCAUGAAGGCGUUUAAAAAUUCAAAUGCAUUUGAUGGAAGUCACGGCCCUGGCGGCAGUUUAGGUGGAGGCGGCUUUCAUGGCCCGGGCGCCGGCUCAGGUGGAGGCGGCUUUCACGGUCAGGGACAUGCAGGUAACCAGGGAGGUUAUAAUCCACAACCCGACCAAGGUAAUCAGCAGCAAUCCAGAUAUCAGAGCAACCCAAAACAACUGAAUAUUGGGCAAUAUCUUGUAUUUACCACUAGCUUGUGCAAGAGGGACCAGAAUCUUCACAAGAGGGCGGUCAAUGCCGUUGAGCCGGCGAUUCCGCGUUACUUACGGUGGUCAGAACAGCCUAUUGUGUGGAGUAGAGAGGAUCAUCCUCCCCGGGUUGAUAAUCCGGGUCACUUGGCCUUGGUAGUAGUGCCUCGGGUUGGUGGAUAUAAAUUCACUAAAGUUCUCAUGGAUGGAGGCAGUAGCAUCAACAUCCUCUACUAUGAGACAUUUCGUCGGAUGGGAUUGACUGAUAAGUGUCUUAAGCAAUCCAACACUAUUUUUCAUGGUGUGGUACCUGGCAAGUCGGCAUACCCAGUUGGGAAGAUUGAACUGGAAGUAGCCUCUGGGGAUGAAUAUGAUUCUAGAGCGGAGAAAUUAACCUUUGAGGUGGUUAAGAUCAAAAGCCCAUAUCAUGCUUUGUUUGGACGGCCGGCUUACGCCAAGUUCAUGGCUUGACCGUGUUAUGUGUAUCUGCAGCUCAAGAUGCCGGGUUAUAAGGGCACCAUUACAGUACAUGGAAGCUGGAAAAUAGCCCUGGAGUGUGAAGAAGGAGAUGCUGCAUAUGUUGAGUCUGUUUGUGCAACAGAGGAGCUAAAGUUUUAUAAAGAUAAUGUUGACCCGGCAGACAUGAUGUCUUUAAAGAAGCCAACAACGAAGCAUGAACCGGUGUUGAAAUUCAAGUCAGAUAAUGACACUAAGAUGGUUGAUUUUGUGCCCGACGACUCAUCCAAGAAGUUCAUCAUCAGUGCCAACUUGGAUCCAAAAUAGGAAAGCGCGUUCAUCGAGUUCAUCCAUGAGAACUGGGACAUCUUUGCAUGGAAACCUUCUGACAUGCCGGGUGUCCUGAGAGAACUCGCUGAGCACACUCUCAAUAUUGAUCCAAGGUUUAAGCCGGUCAGGCAAUUUCUUUGAUGGUUCAACGAGGAAAGGCGCAAGGCCAUUGGAGAAGAGGUGGCCCGACUCUUGGCGGCCGGGUUCAUUGUGGAAGUUUUUCACCCGGAGUGGUUGGCCAACCCGGCGCUUGUACUAAAAAAGAAUGGCACCUGGCGUAUGUGUGUGGAUUACACCGAUUUAAACAAAGCUUGUCCAGCUGACCCUUUUGCUCUCCCCCGUAUUGAUCAGAUCAUCGAUGCUACGGCGGGUUGAGCACGUUUGAGUUUUCUGGAUGCUUAUUCAGGUUAUCAUCAGAUCAAGAUGGCAGUCAAGGACCAGGAGAAGGUAGCUUUCAUCACUCCAUUUGGAGCCUUCUGCUAUGUGUCUAUGCCCUUCGGGCUUAAGAGUGCCCAGGCAACUUAUCAACAGUGUAUGUGAAGGAAAUAUGCCCUAGAGGCAAUAAUAAAGUUAUUGUUUAUUUCCUUAUAUCAUGAUAAAUUUUUAUUAUUCAUGCUAGAAUUGUAUUAACCGGAAACAUGAUACAUGUGUGAAUACAUAGACAAACAGAGUGUCACUAGUAUGACUCUACUUGACUAGCUCGUUGAUCAAAGAUGGUUAUGUUUCCUAGCCAUAGACAAAGAGUUGUCAUUUGAUUAACGGGAUCACAUCAUUAGGAGAAUGAUGUGAUUGACUUGACCCAUUCCGUUAGCUUAGCACUUGAUCCUUUAGUUUGUUGCUAUUGCUUUCUUCAUGACUUAUACAUGUUCCUAUGACUAUGAGAUUAUGCAACUCCCGUUUACCGGAGGAACACUUUGUGUGCCACCAAACGUCACAACAUAACUGGGUGAUUAUAAAGGUGCUCUACAGGUGUCUCCGAAGGUACUUGUUGGGUUGGCGUAUUUUGAGAUUAGGAUUUGUCACUCCGAUUGUCGGAGAUGUAUCUCUAGGCCCUCUCGGUAAUGCACAUCACUUAAGCCUUGCAACCAUUGCAACUAAUGAGUUAGUUGCGGGAUGAUGUAUUACGGAACGAGUAAAGAGACUUGUCGGUAACGAGAUUGAACUAGGUAUUGAGAUACCUACGACCGAAUCUCAGGCAAGUAACAUACCAAUGACAAAGGGAACAACGUAUGUUGUUGUGCGGUUUGACCGAUAAAGGUCUUCGUAGAAUAUGUGGGAGCCAAUAUGAGCAUCCAGGUUCCGCUAUUGGUUAUUGACCGGAGACGUGUCUCGGUCAUGUCUACAUAGUUCUCGAACCCGUAGGGUCCGCACGCUUAAUGUUACGAUGACGGUUAUAUUAUGAGUUUAUAUGUUUUGAUGUACCGAAGGUUGCUCGGAGUCCCGGAUGUGACCAAGGACAUGACGAGGAGUCUCGAAAUGGUCGAGACAUGAAGAUUGAUAUAUUGGAAGCCUAUGUUUGGAUGUCGGAAGUGUUCCGGGUGAAAUCAGGAUUUUACCGGAGUACCGGGAGGUUACUGGAACCCCCCGAGAGCUUAAUGGGCCUAUACGGGCCUUAGUGGAAAUAGAGGGAAGCAAGGGGAGUGUGGGGCGCACGCCCCCAAGGCCCAAACCAAAUUGGUUUAGGGCAAGGGGGCCGGCCCCCUCUUUCCUUCUUCUCCUCUCUCUUUCCUUCUCCCGAAUCCUAUUUCAACUAGGAAGGGGGGGUCCUACUCCCGGUGGGAGUAGGACUCCUCCUGACGUGCCCUCUCCCUGGCCGGCCGCACCCCCUUUGCUCCUUUAUACACGGGGGCAAGGGGGCACCCCAUAGACACAACAAUUGAUCAUUUGAUCCUUUAGCCGUGUGCGGUGCCCCCCUCCAUCAUAGUCCACCUUGAUAUUACUGUAGCGGUGCUUAGGCGAAGCCCUGCGUCGGUAGAACAUCAACAUCGUCACCACACCGUCAUGCUGACGAAACUCUCCCUCAACACUUGGCUGGAUCAGAGUUCGAGGGACGUCAUCAGGCUGAACGUGUGCUGAACUCAGAGGUGUCCUAUGUUCGGUACUUGAUAGGUCGGAUCGUGAAGACGUACGACUACAUCAACCGCGUUGUGCUAACGCUUCCUUUGGUUUUUCCAUGGUUGUUAAAGCGCUAGUCAGCUCUUCUUUAGCCUUGGAAGUUUCUGCUUGCUGGGACUUGAUAUUUUCCUGAAGAUCAGCGACUUGAGAUUCCUUUUUGCUCAGAUCAGCCUGCAAGAGACAUUUAAUGAGUUGGUAGGGCAUAUUAACAAGUUAUAUACUUGGCACUUGGGGGCUAAUGCAUAUUGCUUUUUAUCAGCUGACAUUUUAAAGUCCCAAGCACAUAACAGAUUAUACACUUGGCACUUGGGGGCUAAUGCAUAUUUGCUCAAGUCAAGGUUAUGGAUUUGUUCCUCCUCAAUCGGAUUACAAUGAUGAUUAUCAAGAAUUUUGGAAGCUUCAUGAUAGAAAGAUACCGAUUCAUCCUAAAGGUAUAAACCUGUCCCUGGGGCUACACAAGCAAAAAUUGCAAGAUUCAUACUCUAAAGUCCCGGUUCAUCCUGGAAAGAUAAACCGACCCUUGGGGGCUACGCAGGAAAAGUUGAAGUAUUACAAAGUCCUGGUUUACGUUGAUAUCAUAAACCGACCCUUGGGGGCUACUGGAAUUGAUAUUGGAAAUUAAACACAAGAGAAACUAUUAUGCAGAGUUAACAGUAUUUACCACAUAUCGCUCUUUCAUCAGGUUCACUAAACCGGCUUCAUAGUCGCGGCUUGUGUACAAGCGGUUUAAAAACCCAGAGUGGAUAUCUUGGGCGCUGAGGUGGGCAUAGCUUUCCAAAUAUGUUUUCCACUUGCCUUUAUCCAUAGCAGCAAAUUCUUCCUUGGCACUAUGUUUGGAUAAAGUAGUGGGGUUGCCAGGAGUUGUGUAUCCUAAACCAGUAAUGAUGACAUCGUCCGAUUGGUCAUCAACCGCUUUGACUGGGCUUUACGGUUUAUCUGCAGCUUUGGCCGGACUUGGCGGGUCAGUAGCAUGGCCGGUCGGAUCAUCUUCCAUCUGUUCAACAAAGGUUUCAUGAUGUUCCGGUGGCGGAUCAUCAAGAAUAGCAUCAACAUUCGCCUCAAACUGUUAUGGGGUCUGUUCCGGUUCAGUGGCUGGGUUAUCAUCAGCCGGUGUAGUCAAUUUGGCCUUUUUACUAGGCCUAGUUUUGGCUCUAAAAUGAAUGGAAAUAAAGGUUAGUAUAUUCAACAGGUGCAAGGGAUAAAAAGUUAAGGGUAGUAUGCUUACCCAGGAACAAUCUUAAGAGGUGGAAGUUGUGUCCCUAUCGAUUCGCCAGAGGAUGAAUGGGAAGUUCCCUGGUAGUUUGAGUCAGACGGAUUAAGAGGUUGCCGAAAAUAACCAGCCUUGGGAUAAGAUAUGUCAUGAAUGGAUGAAACCUCUGGCCGGCGUUUUCGAACCGGCGUGUUCGGUAAACCGGAUGAAGUAACCACCUGGCCACUAUGCCAGGUUGUGCGACGAGCUUCACGCUGCUGUUUCUUCAAAAGAAAACUGGGAUCCAGAUAAGCUAGAGGGUGUGAAAAUUUUACUUUCCGGUUUGCUUGAUGGGUUUUCUGUGUUGGCUGAGGAUCUGAACCAGAGGCAUCAGCCCGGCUAGCUUCAGCGUCAUUGCUACCUCUUGAGCACCGCGUUGGUUUUCCCUUGAAGAGGAAAGGGUGAUGCAGCAAAGUAGCGUAAGUAUUUCCCUCAGUUUUUGAGAACCAAGGUAUCAAUCCAAUAGGAGGCUACGCGCGAGUCCCUCGCACGUACACAAAACAAAUAAAUCCUCGCAACCAAUGCGAUAAGGGGUUGUCAAUCCCUACACGGUCACUUACGAGAGUGAGAUCUGAUAGAUAUGAUAAGAUAAUAUUUUUGGUAUUUUUAUGAUAAAUAUGCAAAGUAAAAUAAAAGGCAAUGAAAAUGACUAAGUGUUGGAAGAUUAAUAUGAUGGAAAAUAGACCCGGGGGCCAUAGGUUUCACUAGUGGCUUCUCUCAAGAGCAUAAGUAUAUUACGGUGGGAGAACAAAUUACUGUUGAGCAAUUAACAGAAGUGAGCAUAGUUAUGAGAAUAUCUAGGUAUGAUCAUGUAUAUAGGCAUCACGUCCGAGACAAGUAGACCGACUCCUGCCUGCAUCUACUACUAUUACUCCACACGUCGACCGCUAUCCAGCAUGCAUCUAGAGUAUUAAGUUCAUAAGAACAGAGUAACACUUUAAGUAAGAUGACAUGAUGUAGAGGGAUAAAUUUAUGCAAUAUGAUAAAAAAACCCAUCUUGUUAUCCUCGAUGGCAACAAUACAAUACGUGCCUUGCUGCCCCUACUGUCACUGGGAAAGGACACCGCAAGAUUGAACCCAAAGCUAAGCACUUCUCCCAUUGCAAUAAAGAUCAAUCUAGUAGGCCAAACCAAACUGAUAAUUCGAAGAGACUUGCAAAGAUAACCAAUCAUACAUAAAAGAAUUCAGAAAAGAUUCAAAUAUUGUUCAUAGAUAAACUUGAUCAUAAACCCACAAUUCAUCAAUCUCAACAAACACACCGCAAAAGAAGAUUACAUCGAAUAGAUCUCCAUGAGAGAGGAGGAGAACAUUGUAUUGAGAUCCAAAAAGAGAGAAGAAGCCAUCUAGAUAAUAACUAUGGACCCGAAGGUCUGAGGUAAAGUACUCACACAUCAUCGGAGAGGCUAUGGUGUUGAUGUAGAAGCCCUCCGUGAUCAAUGCACCUUCCGGCGGAGCUCCGGAAUAGGCCCCAAGAUGGGAUCUCAUGGAUACAGAAAGUUAGGGCGGUAGAUUUAGGGUUUUGGCUCCGUAUCUGAUCGUUUGGGGGUACGUAGGUAUAUAUAGGAGGAAGAAGUAUGUCGGUGGAGCAACAGGUGGCCCACGUGGGUGGAGGGCGCGCCUUGGGGGGUAGGCGCGCCCCCUACCUCGUGGCUUCCCUGUUGGUUGCUUGACGUAGGGUCCAAGUCUCCUGGAUCAUGUUCAUUCCGAAAAUCACGUUCCCGAAGGUUUCAUUCCGUUUGGACUCCGUUUGAUAUUCUUUUUCUGUGAAACUCUGAAAUAGGCAAAAAACAACAAUUCUGGGUUGGGCCUCCUGUUAAUAGGUUAGUCCCAAAAAUCUUUACGUAAUAAUAAAGUAAAUUGGGUUUCUUUCGUCCGUCAUGACAUUUUUCAUAAAAGUCCCUCUAGUUCAGAGAAUUCAACCCGCAGUUCUGUUUUAAGUUAAAACGAACUGUUAUUUUCGUAUUUUACACAAAAGUCCAUGUCUUUUCCUGAAAUCAACCCGCCGUCCAAAUUUAAGUCACACCCGAACCGUUAUUUUACAUUUUUCGAAAACCUCCCUGAUGUUUUAGGUAAUUCAUCCAUGGAUCAUAUUUAAGUCAAACAAAUGCUUUUUUAAAUCAUCCAUAUCUUUUAAACCGUAACUCCGAUUUGAACAUGUUAUAUAUGAUAUUUGAUUAAAAAAUAUGUAGAAUAUGAAUAUGAGAUUAUUUUUACCUGUUAAGUAUUUUUAAAUAUUAUUUUGGAAUAUAUUUGAGUCAAACCAAAUGAUUUUCUAAAUUAUCUAUAUCUUUUAAACCGUAACUUCGAUUUUAACAUAUUAUAUAUGAAAUUUUAUUAGAAAAAUGUGUGGAAUCUAAAUACGAUGUUAAUUUUACCUAUUAAAUAUUUUUAAAAUAUUGUUAUGGAAGCAAACUUAUAAUUUAUAGCGCAAGAUCCAUUUUUUUCAUACCGGCGGUGAACCGGAUUGCAAAUAAACACCCCACCAUAACCAUACACGGAAAAGAAAAUAUCAAUAACUACACAUGCAUACCUCUAAAAAAUGUCAUAUGGGAAAACAACAGAUUUCUCAUCGCGAGAGUGAGAGAAAGCGAGAGAGAGAGAGAGAGAGAGAGAGAGGGGGGGGGAGAGAGAGACGCCUUAGGAUUAACCAUAUUCAACACAUGUUUUUUUGUUUUGUGUGAACACCGAGGCCAUCGCGGGCGAGAGUGAGUAGGAGGAUAAGCGGCAACACAAAUAUGAUGCCUCGCAAAAAUAAAGGAGAUGGACCUAUUGUGGUCUUGAGUGAUGGUUGUUGAGUUAAAAGCGUGUAGCGACCAGACCUCAAACAGUUUGAUCUCUGUGCUCCGGUGUCAUCCCUGGAUCAGUAAUGCUGACACCACACAGUACUCGGAGGAUUUAUAGUAGAGUAGCAAUCACACACUUAUUACAUCGAGUGUCUCAAAAGAGAACUUAUUACAAUAAAUAUGGCUUAAGGCCAUCUAAUAAUAAUAAUAGCGGAAGGCUUGGAAGAUAAGUGAGUCCAUCAACUCCAACGGCAUCACUGAGUAUAGAACCACGACCUAAAAACUCCUUAAUCAUCAUCUGAAAAGUCUGCAACAUUAACGUUGCAGCCCGAAAACGGGUCAGCACAUGGAAUAUGCUGGCAAGGUAACACAUAGAGAGUAAUGGAAUGCAACAGCUAUACGAUAUGCAUAUUUGGCUGGUGGAAAGCUCUAUGGUACAGUUUUGCAUAAAGCCAAUUUUUCCCUACUUCAAAAGGAAUAAAUUUAAUUACUAUCAUGGUGGUUGUUAAACAUUGAGAAUGGUUGACAGCAUUCUCAAUCCCAAUUAAGCAUCAUCAUUAGCCCAACAACAUUAAUUUUAGAGUAACAUGUUGAGAUUCACAUGAUAAUCCAGAUACUAGAUACUCAAGAUGUCCAUAACCGGGGACACGACUAAUCAUGAUUAGUUUGUUACACUCUACAGAGGUUUGCGCACUUUUCCCCACAAGACUCGAUCGCCUCCGUUGGAUUUCUCGCACUACAUGGUGUUUGAGAAACGGAUGACCGAGACACAGUCUUUCAGAAGCGCUAGCACCUUACGAUGGAUAGACCGGUACACCUACUUUCCCCUACAUCUGCUAGUCUACCCUGUAAGAGUUCGCACGACUUAAUCAACUAUGCCAGAGCCCAUAAUGGCUUGUGGCUGCACACGGAAGUUUCUAGUUUGAAAAAUCUCAUGAUCCCUUUGAGCCUAGGUGGCGGUCCAAAAGAAAACAUGCAUGUCCUGGACUACCCAGGUGCCUUAAUCCACCCAGAUGUGUAUUUAAGUUGCCACCUUAGAUAAACCGUUAAUUAUCAAUCUCACAUCUAUCAUGGAUUUCACUCACCCAAUCCACGUCUACUAGCAUAGCAUGGCAUAAUAAGCAAACGUAGAAGUAACUCCCAAAGGUUUGAUAAUAAACAGGUAAUAGGUACUACCUCAUCUACUUCCCAUCCCAUAGUUUAAUUAGAUCCUAAUCAUGCAAUGAGUGAAGAUUGAUCUAAUGCAAAAAAAACUAGGUUGUAGAAAAGGUAUGAUCAAAGUGUUACUUGCCUUGCUGAUGAUCCGUGAAACCUAACAAUUCCAAGUAACAGGCGGCGCACUCCGGGUACUCUAUCGCAGGCAAACAAACAAGCAUACAAUAAGUACUCAUCUAAUGCACAGGUAAAACUCAAAUAAGAGAUCUAACAAGAAGGUUCAACUUAAGAACUCCGGUUGGCAAAAAGAAUCAAAUCGAACGAAGCAAAGAAAGUCAAACGGCGAAAGAAAACAACUUUGUUCUAGUAAUCUGAACCUAAGUCAAAUUUUACAGUAGCAAAAACUUGUUUAAGUUGAUUAUUCAGAUAGAGGGUUUCGAGACGAAACUCCAGACGCUUGAAUCGCCUGAUUCCGACAAACGAGCGAAAAGAAAAACUAAAACGAAAAUCAGAUCAGAAAUCGCGAUCAAAAAAUAACCGCGGAAAAAUCCGACGAAAAAGAAAAACGACGAACGGAAUUUUUUUUUUAAAAAUGGCACGGAUUUCGAGAUGCGGCGAACCUCGGGCGACGCGUGGCUCCGGCGGAUCGGCGGCAGCGGCUAGGGUUAGGGUUCGGGCGGCGGCUGCUGGUGGGCUGGCUCGGGCCCGAGGCGCGGCUUAUAAAGCCCCCCGGCCGGCAGAGUUCUGGCCGGUUACGGCCCGUAGUCGGUUGCGUUUUUUUUCGCUCGAAAGAAAAAUAAAAAGAAAUACUAAACGAACUCCAAAAAUCCCGAAAUAAAUUUUCCCGGGCUUCUAAAAUCAAGCCCGACAAAGUGAACAUUUAUUUGGGCCCUAAAUGAAAUUUUGAAAAACGCACAUUUUUCCUAAUUCAAAUAAAAACAACAAAACAAAAAAAACUCCGAAAUAAAACUAUUUGAUUUUUUAUUAAAUCCUCAAUAUUUCUAUAUUUUGGGAAAGUCAUUUUAUUCCCUCUCUCAUAUUUUUGUAAUAGAAAUAAUUGAUGAUAAAAUAAAUAAAAUCAAAUGAUCCUAUUCUCAAAAUUUGAGAAAACUCAAAUAUGAAAAUAACGAAAUCCCCAACUCUCUCCGUGGGUCCUUGAGUUGCUUAGAAUUUUCUAGGAUAAAAACCCAAAGCAAAUAAAAUAUGAUAUGCAUGAUGAUCUAAUGUAUAACAUUCCAAAUUGAAAAUUUGGGAUGUUACAAACCUACCCCCCUUAAGAUGAAUCUUGCCCUCGAGAUUCGAGUUGGCUAGAAAAUAGGUGAGGGUGGUCUUUGAGCAAAUCUUCCUCUCAUUCCCAGGUGGCUUCAUCCUCCGUGUGGUGACUCCACUGAACCUUGCAAAACUUGAUAACUUUGCUGCGGGUAACUCGGCUGGCAAACUCGAGGAUCUUAACUGGUUUCUCCUCGUAGGUCAAAUCGUUAUCCAACUGAAUAGUUUCCAAAGGCACUGUGUCUCUCAAUGGUAUGUCAGCCAUCUCCGCGUGACACUUCUUUAACUGAGAAACGUGGAACACAUCACGAAUUCCUGACAAUCCUUCGGGCAAUUUCAACUUGUAGGCCACUUCUCCCAUACGCUCCAAAAUUCGAUAUGGUCCUAUAAAUCGUGGCGCUAACUUCCCUUUAACUCCAAAACGCUUUGUUCCCUGAAGUAGAGAUACUCGAAGAUAAGCUCUGUCUCCAACUUCGUAAAUUGUCUCCUUGCGUUUAGAAUCUGCAUAACUCUUCUGUCUGGACUGGGCUACCUUGAGCCUAUCGCGAAUCAACUUCACUUUCUGUUCAGACUCCUUAAUCAAGUCAGGUCCAAACAACUGACGGUCUUCAACUUCGCCCCACGACAACGGUGUCCUGCACCUUCUUCUGUACAAAGCUUCGAAAGGGGCCAUCUUCAAACUGGUUUGGUAACUGUUGUUGUAAGAGAACUCUGCAUAUGGCAAAUUAUCGUCCCAACUAGAUCCAUAAUCUAGUGCACAAGCUCUCAGCAUAUCCUCCAAAAUCUGAUUGACUCUCUUGGUCUGUCCAUCUGUCUGCGGAUGAAAAGCUGUACUGAAUUCUAGCCUGGUUCCCAAAGUUUCGUGCAACUGCUUCCAGAACUUUGAGGUAAACUGGGUUUCUCUAUCUGAUACGAUACUCCUCGGAACUCCAUGCAGACAUACUAUUCUGGUCAUGUAUAUUUUUGCCAACUUAGCACUGGUAUAAGUGGUCUUUACUGGGAUGAAAUGAGCAACUUUCGUCAAUCGAUCGACUACAACCCAAAUCAAGUCAUACCCUGAACGAGUCCUGGGCAAUCCCAUGAUAAAAUCCAUGCCUAACUUAUCCCACUUCCAUUCGGGUUUCAGCAAUGGUUGUAACAAUCCUGCUGGCUUCUGAUGCUCUACCUUUACUCUCUGGCAUACAUCACAAACUGCUACAUACUCUGCUAUUUCUUUCUUCAUUCCGGUCCACCAGAAAAUAUCCUUCAAAUCCAGAUACAUCUUGGUAUUCCCUGGGUGAAUCGAAUAGGGUGAAUCAUGGGCCUCUUGCAGAAUUAACUUCCUGAUCUCUGGGUCAUUGGGCACAUAGACACGGUCUUCAAACCAUAGGAUAUCGUGCUCAUCCUCACGAAAUCCUUUAGCUUUUCCUUCUUUCAUUUUCUCCUUUAUGGAAGCAAUCUCCUUGUCAGUCUUUUGAGCUUCCCUGAUUCUGUCCAUCAAAGUUGACUGAAUUUCCAACGUUGCUACAUAGCCUCUCGGAACUAUUUCCAAACAUAGUUCACGAAGAUUUUCUGCUAACUUCUUGGGUAUUUCUCCCGUCAUUAACGUAUUGACAUGGCUCUUGCGGCUUAAUGCAUCAGCUACUACAUUAGCCUUCCCGGGAUGAUAAUGCAAUCUCAUAUCAUAAUCCUUGAUGAGCUCCAACCAUCUCCUUUGUCUGAGAUUCAACUCCUUCUGUGUGAAAAUGCACUUCAAACUCUUAUGAUUCGUGUACACCUCAGAAUGAUUUCCGAUGAGGAAAUGUCUCCAUGUCUUCAAGGCAUGCACUACGGCUGCUAACUCCAAAUCAUGCGUAGCGUAAAUCAACUCAUGGGGCUUCAGUUGUCUUGAGGCAUAUGAAACAACUCUCCCUUCCUGCAUAACCACUGCUCCAAGUCCUCGAUGUGAAGCGUCGCAAUACACCUCAUAAUCCUUGGUCUGAUCUGGCAAAACCAACACUGGUGAGGUAACCAAGCGUUUCUUCAACUCCUGGAAACUAGCCUCACACUGCUCAGUCCAUUUAAACUUGGUAUCUUUCUUCAACAACUCCGUCAUAGGCUUCGAAAUCUUUGAAAAAAUUUCAAUAAACCUCCGCUAGUAUCCUGCGAGUCCAAGAAAACUCUGGAUCUCUCCAACGGUAGUUGGGACUUCCCACUUGGUCACGGUAUCAACUUUAGUGGGAUCAACAGCUAUACCUUCUCCAGAUAUAACGUGUCCGAGGAAUCCUACUUCCUUCAACCAAAACUCACAUUUGCUAAACUUGGCAUAUAAUUGAUGUUCUCUGAGCUUUCCAAGUACCAAACGCAAAUGUUCCUUUUAUGUUCCUCUUCAUUCUUUGAAUAAACCAGGAUCUCAUCAAUGAACACUACGACGAACUUAUCCAAAAACUCCAUAAACACUUUGUUCAUCAUGUUCAUAAAAUAGGCAGGCGCGUUAGUCAGACCAAAUGACAUAACGGUAUACUCAUACAGCCCAUACCUGGUGGUAAAAGCUGUCUUCGGAAUAUCCUGUUCUCGAAUCUUCAACUGGUGGUACCCUGAUCGCAAAUCGAUCUUGGAAAACACUUUAGCUCCUUGCAAUCAAUCAAACAGAUCAUUGAUCAUUGGUAGCGGGUACUUGUUCUUGAUUGUUACUUCAUUCAAUCCUCGAUAAUCAACAACCAUCCUUAACGAUCCAUCCUUCUUCUCUACUAAUAGUACUAGUGAUCCCCAAGGUGAAGAACUUGGGCGAAUGUAACCUUUAUCCAGUAACUCCUUAAUCUGUUUCUUAAUUUCCACCAAAUCCUUUGCUGGCAUCCUAUAUGGUCUCUUUGAUAUUGGCCCUGUGCCUUGCAAUAGCUCAAUCAAGAACUCAAUAUCUCUAUCCGGUGGCAUGCCUGGCAACUCCUCUGGAAAUACAUCAGGGAAUUCCCUUACCACUGGUACUUCCUCCUGCACAACUCCUAUUAAUGAAUUUACUUGUGUCUUGUUUGGCGCAUGCCGGGAUACAUACUUGAUCCUUCUCCCUUCUGGGGUGGUAAGCAAAAUUGACUUACUAGCACAAUCGAUGUUUCCUCCAUACAUCAACAGCCAAUCCAUACCAAGAAUCACAUCCAGACCUUGGGAUUCCAGAAUAAUUAAAUCUGUUGGGAAAACAUGCCGUCCUAUACUUAAUGGCACUUGAAAACAUCCUUGACUGGCCAUGUACUCUGCUCCUAGUGAGCUUACUAGCAUAGGUGUUCUGAGAACCCUAGUGGGUAGGCUAUACUUUUCCACAAAUCCCCUUGAUAUGUAUGAAUGCGAUGCACCAGUAUCAAAAAGAACGAGUGCAGUAAAUGGCUUAACCAAAAACUUACCUAUUACUGCAUCGGGCUGAGCUUCAACCUCCUCCACAUUAACGUGGUUCACCUGUCCCCUGUUGAGAGGGUUCGGAUUCUUUCCAGAGCUUCCAUUGCCAUUUUGGCCUUCAGGACAUUCAUUGGCAUAAUGUCCGGUCUUGGAACACUUGAAACAGGUGACUUGACUCAGAUCUCUCUUGGCUGGGGUUGAUGGGGUGCUGCGGUUCUGGCCAUUGCUUCCUCCAUUCCCAUUACCAUUCUUGGUGCCAUUGUGAUUGUGCGAGCUACCUACUCCAUGGGUAUGCUGAAAAUGUCCUCCCGGUCUAGGGGUAAAACAUGGCUUCUGCUGAGCUCCUGAAUUAUACUUUCCUUGUCCAUACUUCCUCUUGCGGUUCUCAAUUUGCUGCUGCUUCCCUUCAAUCAUAAGAGCACGGUCUACCAACUCCUGGUAGUUGUUGAAGGUGGCUACCAUCAACUGCAUACUCAACUCAUCAUUCAGUCCUUCCAGGAACUUCUCCUGCUUAGCUGCAUCCGUAGCAACGUCAUCUGGGGCAUAAUGUGCUAGCUUACUAAACUCCUCCACAUACUGGCCAACUGUCCGUCCUCCUUGGCGCAAGUUACGAAACUCACGCUUCUUCAUGGCCAUAGCUCCUGCUGAAACAUGGGCAGUACGGAAAGCCUGCUGAAACUGGUCCCAUGUGAUAGUGUCGACUGGGAAGGUGGCUGUAAAAUUCUCCCACCAUGAUGCUGCGGGUCCUUCUAACUGAUGUGCGGCAAACUUAACCUUCUCCGCAUCUGUGCAUCCUGCUGUGGUCGACUCCCUAGCUGUCUUGCGGAGCCAAUCAUCUGCUACUAUCGGCUCGGUGCUACUGGAAAACACCGGCGGGUUCAGCCUAAGAAAACGGGCUAAGUGGUCAACAAGUGGUGGUGGGGGUGGUGGGUUGUUGUUGUUGUUCCCCUGAUUCUGAUUCUGGACUAGCAACUGCAUCAAGGUGUUCUGCUGCUGGAUCAACUGGGUGAGCUCCGGUGGAAAGGCAAAUCUGGGGUCACGUCUCGGAGGCAUCUGAGGUUUAGAAGAGAUGAGAUAUAAGAAUAGAGGGGGUCCAAAGAGAAAACACUACCCAUAUGCACACAAGGCAAAAGCAAACAAUUCACUUCAUUCAAUCAAACAAAGGCAUACAAUCGAUCUAACUAUCGCAAAGUGCUCGGACUACUAUAUUUACAUGGUGGACUACUACUACUGAUGAGGUGGUCUACUAGAAAUAUUCUACGGUUGUAGACUCCAUGAUAUCUGCUCCUGCUUCAUCAACAUAGUUAGUCAUCAUCGCUACUAUCUGCUUCCGAGUCGGUGCCGUCGAUGAUGAUGUAGUCUUCCAGGCUAAUCUCCUUGGGUUCUUUGUCUUCAUCUACUGGUGUCGGGCCUCCCAUAAAUACUGCUAGCUUCAUAGUUAGGUCGGCAUUCUUAUCCACCAAUACUUCAAUUUCUUCUUCAUAACCUUCGCGUGUAGCCUUGAGUUCUUCCUCCAGUUCCUUGAUUCUAGUCUUAGCCUUCUUCAGAUCUAUCAUGUCAGCGCACAUCUGAUUCUCCUGUCGUUGAAUGUGCUGGUUUAACUCCUGGAUAAAAGCUGCGAUUGAUCUAUCCUUCAUGGUGCUAAUCAUCUCCAAGUGUUCAUCUCGGCGCCCACAAAUCUGGUAUAUAGUAUCCUUAAGAUCCUUGCGGUAGACUUCUCCAAUGCGUCCCAUGGCGAUGUAAGCUGCCAUGCUCUUUCCUAGACUCCAAGUUGGUGCAUCAAAAGAAAACUCUAUGGGCUUAGUGACUGGCAUGAACGUCCUUCCUGGGAUUUGAACUUGAAUCAUCCAGCGCUCUUCUUCAGGUAAAGUGGCGUUGUAGGUUCCCGUGAAGCUUGGUACUCCUAUGUUCAGGUAUCUAGUGACUUCCUUCAAGUGGCGUCCAAAGGGUGUAUCUUCAUCCGGUUGGGUGAACUUGUUCCUUGCAUCCGCCAUCCUAAAGAGUAGAAAAGAUGAGAGGUCAGAAGAGAAGAGAGUGAGUAGUGAUCUAGGUCUUUAGCUUAGUGGUCGUGUCCUACAGUCAGCGUGUGCUCUAAUACCAUCUCUGAAGCGACCAGACUUCAAACAGUCUGAUCUCUGUGCUCCGGUGUCAUCCCUGGAUCGGUAAUGCUGACACCACACAGUACUCGGAGGAUUUAUAGCAGAGUAGCAAUCACACACUUAUUACAUCGAGUGUCUCAAAAGAGAACUUAUUACAAUAAAUAUGGCUUAAGGCCAUCUAAUAAUAAUAACAGCGGAAGGCUUGGAAGAUAAGUGAGUCCAUCAACUCCAACGGCAUCACUGAGUAUAGAACCACGACCUAAAAACUCCUUAAUCGUCGUCUGAAAAGUCUGCAACAUUAACGUUGCAGCCCGAAAAUGGGUCAGCACAUGGAAUAUGCUGGCAAGGUAACACAUAGAGAGUAAUGGAAUGCAACAGCUAUACUAUAUGCAUAUUUGGCUGGUGGAAAGCUCUAUGGUUAUAGUUUUGCAUAAAGCCAAUUUUUCCCUACUUCAAAAGGAAUAAAUUUAAUUACUAUCAUGGUGGUUGUUAAACAUUGAGAAUGGUUGACAGCAUUCUCAAUCCCAAUUAAGCAUCAUCAUUAACCCAACAACAUUAAUUUUAGAGUAACAUGUUGAGAUUCACAUGAUAAUCCAGAUACUAGAUACUCAAGAUGUCCAUAUCCGGGGACACGGCUAAUCAUGAUUAGUUUGUUACACUCUGCAGAGGUUUGCACACUUUUCCCCACAAGACUCGAUCGCCUCCAUUGGAUUUCUCGCACUACAUGGUGUUUGAGAAACGGAUGACCGAGACACAGUCUUUCAGAAGCGCUAGCACCUUACGAUGGAUAGACCGGUACACCUACUUUCCCCUACAUCUGCUAGUCUACCCUGUAAGAGUUCACAUGACUUAAUCAAUUAUGCCAGAGCCCAUAAUGGCUUGUGGCUGCACACGGAAGUUUCUAGUUUGAAAAAUCUCAUGAUCCCUUUGAGCCUAGGUGGCGGUCCAAAAGAAAACAGGCAUGUCCUGGACUACCCAGGUGCCUCAAUCCAUCCAGAUGUGUAUUUAAGUUGCCACCUUAUAUAAACCAUUAAUUAUCAAUCUCACAUCUGUCAUGGAUUUCACUCACACAAUCCACGUCUACUAGCAUAGCAUGGCAUAAUAAGCAAACGUAGAAGUAACUCCCAAAGGUUUGAUAAUAAACAGGUAAUAGGUACUACCUCAUCUACUUCCCAUCCCACAGUUUAAUUAGAUCCUAAUCAUGCAAUGAGUGAAGAUUGAUCUAAUGCAAAAAAACUGGGUUGUAGAAAAGGUAUGAUCAAAGUGUUACUUGCCUUGUUGAUGAUCCGUGAAACCUAACGAUUCGAAGUAACAGGCGGCGCACUCUGGGUACUCUAUCGCAGGCAAACAAACAAGCAUACAAUAAGUACUCAUCUAAUGCACAGGUAAAACUCAAAUAAGAGAUCUAACUAGAAGGUUCAACUUAAGAACUCCAGUUGGCAAAAAGAAUCAAAUGGAACGAAGCAAAGAAAGUCAAACGGCGAAAGAAAACAACUUCGUUCUAGUAAUCUGAACCUAAGUCAAAUUUUACAGUAACAAAAACUUGUUUAAGUUGAUUAUUUGGAUAGAGGGUUUCGAGACGAAACUCCAGGCGUUUCAAUCGCCUGAUUCCAAUAAACGAGCGAAAAGAAAAACUAAAACGAAAAUCGGAUCAGAAAUCGCGAUCAGAAAAUAACCGCGGAAAAAUCCGACGAAAAAGAAAAAUGACGAACGGAUUUUUUUUUUUAAAAAAGGCACGGAUUUCGACGUGCGGCGAACCUCGGGCGACGCGCGGNNNNNNNNNNNNNNNNNNNNNNNNNNNNNNNNNNNNNNNNNNNNNNNNNNNNNNNNNNNNNNNNNNNNNNNNNNNNNNNNNNNNNNNNNNNNNNNNNNNNNNNNNNNNNNNNNNNNNNNNNNNNNNNNNNNNNNNNNNNNNNNNNNNNNNNNNNNNNNNNNNNNNNNNNNNNNNNNNNNNNNNNNNNNNNNNNNNNNNNNNNNNNNNNNNNNNNNNNNNNNNNNNNNNNNNNNNNNNNNNNNNNNNNNNNNNNNNNNNNNNNNNNNNNNNNNNNNNNNNNNNNNNNNNNNNNNNNNNNNNNNNNNNNNNNNNNNNNNNNNNNNNNNNNNNNNNNNNNNNNNNNNNNNNNNNNNNNNNNNNNNNNNNNNNNNNNNNNNNNNNNNNNNNNNNNNNNNNNNNNNNNNNNNNNNNNNNNNNNNNNNNNNNNNNNNNNNNNNNNNNNNNNNNNNNNNNNNNNNNNNNNNNNNNNNNNNNNNNNNNNNNNNNNNNNNNNNNNNNNNNNNNNNNNNNNNNNNNNNNNNNNNNNNNNNNNNNNNNNNNNNNNNNNNNNNNNNNNNNNNNNNNNNNCUAGGGUUAGGGUUCGGGCGGCGACUGCUGGUGGGCUGGCUCGGGCCCGAGGCGCGUCUUAUAAAGCCCCCCGGCCGGCAGAGUUCUGGCCGGUUACGGCCCGUACUCGGUUGCGUUUUUUUUCGCUCGGAAGAAAAAUAAAAAGAAAUACUAAACGGACUCCAAAAAUCCCGAAAUAAGUUUUCCCGGGCUUCUAAAAUCAAGCCCGACAAAGUGAACAUUUAUUUGGGCCCUAAAUGCAAUUUUGAAAAACGUGCAUUUUUCCUAAUUCAAAUAAAAACAACAAAACAAAAAAAAACUCUGAAAUAAAACUAUUUGAUUUUUUAUUAAAUCCUCAAUAUUUCUAUAUUUUGGGAAAGUCAUUUUAUUCCCUCUCUCAUAUUUUUGUAAUAGAAAUAAUUGAUCAUAAAAUAAAUAAAAUCAAAUGAUCCUAUUCUCAAAAUUUGAGAAAACUCAAAUAUGAAAAUAACGAAAUCCCCAACUCUCUCCGUGGGUCCUUGAGUUGCUUAGAAUUUUCUAGGAUCAAAACCCAAAGCAAAUAAAAUAUGAUAUGCAUGAUGAUCUAAUGUAUAACAUUCCAAAUUGAAAAUUUGGGAUGUUACAGAGCGUGUGUUAUGUUUUCUCUCCCAUUGCAACGCACGGGUUCUUUUGCUAGUAAUAUAGAAGUGAAUAAUAAAGCCCAAUAAUGUCCAAAACAAAAGAUAAUAUAGCAUGGAGCAAUAAAAAAUUAUAGAUACGUUGGAGAUGGAUCAAACAUCCCCAAGCUUAAUUCCUGCUCGUCCUCGAGUUGGUAAAUGAUAAAAACAGAAUUUUUGAUGUGGAAUGCUACUAGGCAUAAUUUCAAUGUAAUUUUAUUAAUUGUGGCAUGAAUAUUCAGAUCCGAAAGAAUCAAGAUAAAAGUUUAAUAUUGACAUAGAAAUAAUAAUAGUUCAAGCAUACUAACUAAGCAAUUAUGUCUUCUCAAAAUAACAUGGCCAAAGAAAGUUCAUCCCUACAAAAUCAUAUAGUUUAGUCAUGCUCCAUUUUCGUCACACAAGAAUGCUCUCAUCAUGCACAACCCCAAUGACAAGCCAAUCAAGUGUUUCAUACUUUAGUAAUCUCAAACUUUAUAAACCUUCAUGCAAUACAUGAGCGUGAGCCAUGGAUAUAGCACUAUGGGUAGAAUAGAAUAUAAUGAUGGGGGUUAUGUGGAGAAGACAAAAAAAGGAGAAAGUCUCACAUCAACGAGGCUAAUCAAUGAGCUAUGGGAUGCCCAUCGAUUGAUGUUAAUACAAGGAGUAGGGAUUGCCAUGCAACGGAUGCACUAGAGCUAUAAAUGUAUGAAAGCUCAACAAAAGAAACUAAGUGGGUGUGCAUCCAACUUGCUUGCUCAUGAAGACCUAGGGCACUUGAAGAGGCCCAUUAUUGGAAUAUACAAGCCAAGUUCUAUAACGAAAAAUUCCCACUAGUAUAUGAAAGUGAAAAAACAAAAGACUCUCUAUCAUGAAGAUUAUGGUGCUACUUUGAAGCACAAGUGUGGCAAAGGAUAGUAGCAUUGUCCCUUCUCUCUUUUUCUCUCAUUUUUUUAUUUGGGCCUUCUCUUUUUUACGGCCUUUCUCUUUUUUUAUAUAUAUUCCUCACUUGGGACAAUGCUCUAGAAAAUGAUGAUCAUCACACUUCUAUUUAUUUACAACUCAAUCAUUACAACUCGAUGCUAGAACAAAAGAUGACUCUAUAUGAAUGCCUCUGGCGGUGUACCAGGAUAUGCAAUGAAUCAAGAGUGACAUGUAUGAAAAUUAUGAACGGUGGCUGUGCCACAAAUACUAUGUCAACUACAUGAUCAUGCUAAGCAAUAUGACAAUGAUGAAUGUGUCAUGAUAAAAGGAAUGGUGGAAAGUUGCAUGGCAAUAUAUCUCGGAAUGGCUAUGGAAAUGCCAUAAUGGUAGGUAUGGUGGCUGUUUUGAGGAAGAUAUAAGGAGGUUUAUGUGUGAAAGAGUGUAUCAUAUCACGGGGUUUGGAUGCACCGGCGAAGUUUGCACCAACUCUCAAUGUGAGAAAUGGCAAUGCAUGGUACCAAAGAGGCUAGCAAUGAUGGAAGGGUGAGAGUGCGUAUAAUCCAUGGACUCAACAUUAGUCAUAAAGAACUCGCAUACUUAUUGCAAAAAUCUACAAGUCAUCAAAAACCAAAGCACUACAUGCAUGCUCCUAGGGGGAUAGAUUGGUAAGAAAAGACCAUCGCUCGUCCCCGACCGACACUCAUAAGGAAGACAAUCAAAGAACACCUCAUGUUUCAAAUUUGUUACACAAUGUUUGCCAUACGUGCAUGCUAUGGGACUUGCAAACUUCAACACAAGAAAUUCACAAAUUCACAACUACUCAACUAGCACGACUUUGAUAUUAUUACCUCCAUAUCUCAAAACAAUCAUCAAGCAUCAAACUUCUCUUAGUAUUUAAAACACUCAUAGGAAUUUUUUUACUAAUCUUGAAUACCUAGCAUAUUAGGAUUAUUUAAGCAAAUUUCCAUGCUAUUUAAGACUCUAAAAAUAAUCUAAGUUAAGCAUGAGAGAUCAAUAGUUUCUAUAAAACAAAUCCACCACUGUGCUCUAAAAGAUAUAAGUGAAGUACUAGAGCAAAACUAUAUAACUCAAAAGAUAUAAGCGAAGCACAUAGAGUAUUCUAACAAAUUCCAAAUCAUGUAUGGCUCUCUCAAAAGGUGUGUACAGCAAGGAUGAUUGUGGUAAACUAAAAGGCAAAGACUAAAAUCAUACAAGACGCUCCAAGCAAAACACAUAUCAUGUGGUGAAUAAAAAUAUAGCUCCAAGUAAAGUUACCGAUAGAAGUAGACGAAAGAGGGGAUGCCUUCCGGGGCAUCCCCAAGCUUUGUCUUUUAGGUGUCCUUAUAUUAUCUUGGGGGUUCCAUGGGCAUCCCAAAGCUUAGGCUCUUGCAACUACUUGUUCCAUAAUCCAUCAAAUCUUCACCCAAAACUUGAAAACUUCACAACACAAAACUCAAAGUAGAAAAUCUCAUGAGCUCCGUUAGCGAAAGAAAACAAAAGACCACUUCAAGGAACUGUAAUGAACUCAUUGUUUCUUUAUAUUGGUUUUAAACCUACUGUAUUCCAACUUCUCUAUGGUUUAUAAACUAUUUUACUAGCCAUAGAUUCAUCAAAAUAAGCAAACAACACACGAAAAACAGAAUUUGUCAAAAACAGAACAGUCUGUAGUAAUCUGUAGCUAGCGCAAGAUCUGGAACCCAAAAAUUCUAAAAUAAAUUUCUGGACGUGAGGAAUUUAUCUAUUAAUCAUCUUUAAAAAGAAUUAACUAAAUAGAACUUCCCAAAUAAAAAUGGCAGCAGUUCUCAUGAGUGCUAAAGUUUCUGUUUUUUACAGCAAUUAUGUCUUCUCAAAAUAACAUCGCUAAAGCAAGUUCAUCCCUACAAAAUCAUAUAGUUUAGUCAUGCUCCAUUUUUGUCACACAAGAAUACUCUCAUCAUGCACAACCCCGAUGACAAGCCAAGCAAUUGUUUCAUACUUUAGCAAUCUCAAACCUAUAAACUUUCACGCAAUAUAUGAGCAUGAGCCAUGGACAUAGCACUAUGGGUGGAAUAGAAUAUAAUGAUGGGGGUUAUGUGGAGAAGACAAAAAGGAGAAAGUCUCGCAUCAACGAGGCUAAUCAAUGGGCUAUGGAGAUGCCCAUCGAUUGAUGUUAAUGCAAGGAGUAGGGAUUGCCAUGCAACGGAUGCACUAGAGCUAUAAAUGUAUGAAAGCUCAACAAAAGAAACUAGUGGGUGUGCAUCCAACUUGCUUGCUCAUGAAGACCUAGGGCACUUGAGGAGUUCCAUUGUUGGAAUAUAGAAGCCAAGUUCUAUAAUGAAAAUUCCCACUUGUAUAUGAAAGUGACAAAACAAGAGACUCUCUAUCGUGAAGAUAAUGGUGCUACUUUGAAGCACAAGUGUGGUAAAAGGAUAGUUGCAUUGUCCCUUUUCAUUUUUUUGGGGGGGUGGCUUCUUUUUUUGGGAAUUUCUCUUUUUUUUCCUUUUUUUAUUGGGACAAUGCUCUAUUAAAUGAUGAUCAUCACACUUCUAUUUAUUUACAACUCAAUGAUUACAACUCGAUACUAGAACAAGGUAUGACUCUAUAUGAAUGCCUCCGACGGUGUACUGGGAUAUGCAAUGAACCAAGAGUGACAUGUAUGAAAGAAUUAUGAAUGGUGGCUUUGCCACAAAUACUAUGUCAACUACAUGAUCAUGUUAAACAAUAUGACAAUGAUGAACAUGUCAUGAUAAACUGGAUGGUGGAAAGUUGCAUGGCAAUAUAUCUCGGAAUGGCUAUGGAAAUGCCAUAAUAGGUAGGUAUGGUGGCUGUUCUGAGGAAGAUAUAAGGAGGUUUAUGUGUGAAAGAGCGUAUCAUAUCAUGGGGUUUGGAUGCACGGGCGAAGUUUGCACCAACUCUCAAUGUGAGAAAGGGCAAUGCAAGGUACCGAAGAGGCUAGCAAUGAUGGAAAGGUGAGAGUGCAUAUAAUCCAUGGACUCAACAUUAGUCAUAAAGAACUCAUAUACUUAUUGCAAAAAUCUACAAGUCAUCAAAAACCAAGCACUACGCGCAUGCUCCUAGGGAGAUAGAUUGGUAGGAAAAGACCAUCGCUCGUCCCCGACCGCCACUCAUAAGAAGGACAAUCAAAGAACACCUCAUGUUUCAAAUUUGUUACAUAACGUUUACCAUACGUGCAUGCUACGGGACUUGCAAACUUCAACACAAGUAUUUCUCAAAUUCACAACUACUCAACUAGCACAACUUUAAUAUCACUACCUCCAUAUCACAAAACAAUCAUCAAGCAUCAAACUUCUCUUAGUAUUCAGAACACUCAUAAGAAAGUUUUUACUAAUCUUGAAUACCUAGCAUAUUAGGAUUAUUUAAGCAAAUUACCAUGAUAUUUAAGACUCUCAAAAUAAUCUAAGUGAAUCAUGAGAUAUCAAUAGUUUCUAUAAAACAAAUCCACCACCGUGCUCUAAAAGAUAUAAGUGAAGUACUAGAGUAAAACUAUAUAACUCAAAAGAUAUAAGUGAAGCACAUAGAGUAUUCUAAUAAUUUCCGAAUCAUGUGUGUCUCUCUCAAAAGGUGUGUACAGAAAAGAUGAUUGUGGUAAACUAAAAAGCAAAGACUCAAAUCAUACAAGACGCUCCAAGCAAAACACAUAUCAUGUGGUGAAUAAAAAUAUAGCUCCAAGUAAAGUUACCCAUGGAAGUAGACGAAAGAUGGGAUGCCUUCCGGGGCAUCCCCAAGCUUUGGCUUUUUUGUGUCCUUCGAUUAUCUUGGUGGUGCCAUGGGCAUCCCCAAGCUUAGGCUCUUGCCACUCCUUGUUCCAUAAUCCAUCAAAUCCUUACCCAAAACUUGAAAACUUCACAACACAAAACUUAAAGUAGAAAAUCUCGUGAGCUCUGUUAGCGAAAGAAAACAAAACACCACUUCAAGGUACUGUAAUGAACUCAUUCUUUAUUUAUAUUGGUGUUAAACCUACUGUAUUGCAACUUCUCUAUGGUUUAUAAACUAUUUUACUAGCCAUAGAUUCAUCAAAAUAAGCAAACAACACACAAAAAACAGAAUCUGUCAAAAACAGAACAGUCUUUAGUAAUCUGUAGCUAGAGCAAGAUCUGGAACCCCAAAAAUUCUAAAAUAAAUUUAUGAACGUGAGGAAUUAAGCUAUUAAUCAUAUGCAAAAAGAAUUAGCUAAAUAUAACUUUCCAAAUAAAAAUGGCAGCAGUUCUCGUCAGCAUUAAAGUUUCUGUUUUUACAGCAAGAUUAACAAGAAUUUCCCCAAGUCUUCCCAAUGGUUCUACUUGGCACAAACACUAAUUAAACACAAAAAACACAACCAAAACAGAGGCUAGAUAAAUUAUUUAUUACUAAACUAGAGCAAAAAGCAAGGAAUAAAAAUAAAAUUGGGUUGCCUCCCAACAAGUGCUAUCGUUUAACGCCCCUAGCAAGGCAUAAAAAGCAAGGAUAGAUCUAGGUAUUGCCAUCUUUGGUAGGCAAUCCAUAAGUGGCUCUCAUAAUAGAUUCAUAAGGUAAUUUAAUUUUAUUUCUAGGAAAGUGUUCCAUGUUUUUCUCUAGCGGAAAUUGGAAUCUAAUAUUUCCUUCCUUCAUAUCAAUAAUUGCACCAAUCGUUCUAAGGAAAGGUCUACCAAGAAUAAUAGGACAUGAAGGAUUGCAAUCUAUGUCAAGAACAAUAAAAUAUACGGGCACAUAGUUCCUAUUUGCAACAAUAAGAACAUCAUUAAUUCUUCCCAUAGGUUUCUUAAUAGUGGAAUCCGCAAGGUGCAAGUUUAAAGAGCAAUCAUCAAAAUCAUGGAAACCUAACAAAUCACACAAAGUCUUAGGAAUCGUGGAAACACUAGCACCCAAAUCACACAAAGCAUAGCAUUCAUGAUCUUUAGUUUUAAUUUUAAUAGUUGGUUCCCACUCAUCAUAAAGUUUUCUAGGGAUAGAAACUUCCAACUCAAGUUUUUCUUCAUAAGAUUGCAUCAAAGCAUCAACGAUAUGUUUGGUAAAAGCUUUAUUUUGACUAUAACCAUGGGGAGAAUUUAGCACGGAUUGCAACAAGUAAAUACAAUCUAUCAAAGAGCAGCUAUCAUAAUUAAAUUCCUUGAAAUCCAAAAUAGUAGGUUCGUUAACAUCUAGAGUUUUGAUCUCUUCAAGCCCACUUUUAUCAAAUUUAGCAUCAAGAUCUAAAAACUCCGAAUUUUUGGAACGCCUUCUAGGUAAAGGUGGAUCAUAUUCAGUCCCAUCAUUAUCAAGAUUCAUAUUGCAAAACAAAGAUUUAAUAGGGGACACAUCAAUAACUUUUAGAUCUUCAUCUUUAUUAUCAUGGAAACUAGAAGAACACACUCUUAUAAAGGAAUCUUUCUUAGCACGCAUCCUAGCGGUUCUUUCUUUGCACUCAUCAAUGGAAAUUCUCAUGGCUUUGAGAUACUCAUUGAUAUCAUGCUUAGGAGGAAUAGAUCUAAGUUUUAAAGAAUCAACAUCAAGAGAAAUUCUAUCAACUUUCCUAGCCAAAUCAUCAACUUUAAGCAAUUUCUCCUCAAGCAAAGCAUUGAAAUUCUUUUGUGAACUCAUAAAUUCCUUAACACUAGUCUCAAAUUCAGAGGGCAUCUUAUUAAAAUUUCCAUAAGAAUUGUUGUAGGAAUUACCAUAAUUAUUAGAGGAAUUACUAGGAUAAGGCCUAGGAUUAAAGCUUCCUCUAUACGCGUUGUUACCAAAAUUAUUCCUACCAACAAAAUUCACAUCCAUAGAUUCAUUAUUAUUCUCAAUCAAAGUAGACAAAGGCAUAUCUUUAGGAUCAGAAGAAACACUCUUAGUAGCAAAUAAUUUCAUAAGUUCAUCCAACUUUCCACUCAAAACAUUAAUUUCUUCUAUCACAUGCACUUUUUUAUUAGUAGAUCUUUCAGUGUGCCAUUGAGAAUAAUUAACCAUAAUAUUAUCUAGUAGUUUAGUAGCUUCUCCUAAAGUGAUUUCCAUAAAAGUGCCUCUCGCGGCCGAAUCUAAAAGAUUUCUAGAAGAAAAAUUCAAUCCGGCAUAAAAAUUUUGUAUAAUCAUCCACAAAUUCAAACAUGUUUUGGGCAAUUACGUAUCAUUAAUUUCAUCCUCUCCCAAGCUUGUGCAAAAUGUUCAUGAUCAAGUUGCUUAAAAUUCAUAAUAUCAUUUCUAAGAGAGAUGAUCUUAGCGGGAGGAAAAUACUUAGAGAUAAAAGCAUCUUUGCACUUAUUCCAAGAAUCAAUACUAUUUUUAGGCAAAGACGAAAACCAAGCUUUAGCACGAUCUCUAAGCGAAAAAGGAAAUAGCUUCAAUUUAACAAUAUCAUUGUCCACAUCUUUCUUCUUUUGCAUAUCACAUGAAUCAACAAAGCUAUUUAGAUGGGUAGUGGCAUCUUCACUAGGAAGGCCGGAAAACGGAUCUUUCAUGACAAGAUUCGGCAAGGCAGCAUUAAUUUCACAAGAUUCAGCAUCGGUAAGAGGAGCAAUCAGAGUGCUAAUAAAAUCAUUGUUGUUGGUAUUGGUAAAGACACACAAUUUAGAGUUAUCUUGAGCCAUCAUGACAAGCAAGCAAUCCAACACACAAGCAAACGAGGAACGGGCAAAAGAGAGGCAAAUAGAGAAAGAGAGGGAGGAUAGAGAGAGAGGGAGAAUAAAACAGCAAGGGUGAAGUGGGGGAGGAAAAUGAGAGGCAAAUGGAAAAUAAUGUAAUGCGGGAGAUAAGGGUUUGUGAUGGGUACGUGGUAUCUUGACUUUUGCGUAGACCUCCCCAGCAACGGCGCAUGAAAUCCUUCUUUCUACCUCUUGAGCACUGCGUUGGUUUUCCCUUGAAGAGGAAAGGGUGAUGCAGCAAAGUAGCGUAAGUAUUUCCCUCAGUUUUUGAGAACCAAGGUAUCAAUCUAGUAGGAGGUUACGCGCGAGUCCCUCACACCUACACAAAACAAAUAAAUCCUCGCAACCAACGCGAUAAGGGGUUGUCAAUCCCUACACGGUCACUUACUACAGUGAGAUCUGAUAGAUAUGAUAAGAUAAUAUUUUUGGUGUUUUUAUGAUAAAGAUGCAAAGUAAAAUAAAAGGCAAUGAAAAUAACUAAGUGUUAGAAGACUAAUAUGAUGGAAAAUAGACCCGGGGGCCAUAGGUUUCACUAGUGGCUUCUCUCAAGAGCAUAAGUAUUUUACGGUGGGUGAACAAAUUACUGUUGAGCAAUUGACAGAAUUGAGCAUAGUUAUGAGAAUAUCUAGGUAUGAUCAUGUAUAUAGGCAUCACGUUCGAGACAAGUAGACCGGGUCCUGCCUGCAUCUACUACUAUUACUCCACACAUCGACCACUAUCCAGCAUGCAUCUCGAGUAUUAAGUUCAUAAGAACAGAGUAACACUUUAAGCAAGAUGACAUGAUGUAGAGGGAUAAAUUCAUGCAAUAUGAUAAAAAAAACAUCUUGUUAUCCUCGAUGGCAACAAUAUAAUACGUGCCUUGCUGCCCCUACUGUCACUUGGAAAGGACACCGCAAGAUUGAAUCCAAAGCUAAGCACUUCUCCCAUUGCAAGAAAGAUCAAUCUAGUAGGCUAAACCAAACUGAUAAUUCGAAGAGACUUGCAAAGAUAACCAAUCAUACAUAAAAGAAUUCAGAAAAGAUUCAAAUAUUGUUCAUAGAUAAACUUGAUCAUAAACCAACAAUUCAUCGGUCUGAACAAACACACAGCAGAAGAAGAUUACCUUGAAUAGAUCUCCACGAGAGAGGGGGAGAACAUUGUAUUGAGAUCCAAAAAGAGAUAAGAAGCCAUCUAGCUAAUAACUAUGGACCCAAAGGUCUGAGGUAAACUACUCACACAUCAUCAGAGAGGCCAUGUUGUUGAUGUAGAAGCCCUCUGUGAUCGAUGCCCCCUCCGGCGGAGCUCCGGAACAGGCCCCAAGAUGGGAUCUCGUGGAUACAGAAAGUUAUGGCGGUGGAAUUAGGGUUUUGGCUCCGUAUCUGAUCGUUUGGGGGUAUGUAGGUAUAUACAGGAGGAAGGAGUACGUCGAUGGAGCAAUAGGGGGGCCACGAGGGUGGAGGGCGCGCCUGGGGGGGUAGGCGCGCCCCCCUACCUCCUGGCUUCCCUGUUGGUUGCUUGACGUAGGGUCCAAGUCUCUUGGAUCAUGUUCGUUCCGAAAAUCACGUUCCUGAAGGUUUCAUUCCGUUUGGACUCCGUUUGAUAUUCUUUUUCUGCGAAACUCUGAAAUAGGCAAAAAAACAGCAAUUCUGGGCUGGGCCUCCGGUUAAUAGGUUAUUCCAAAAAAUAAUAUAAAAGUGAAUAAUAAAGCCCAAUAAUGUGCAAAACAGAAGAUAAUAUAGCAUGGAGCAAUCAAAAAUUAUAGAUACGUUGGAGACGUAUCAGUCAUCCUGAUAAGGUUCAUUGUCAAUGAGGUGUAUGAAAAAUGAACCAAGAGUAUCAAGUUCUACCUCUGAGUCCGGAUUAUCAAGAUCCUUGUCGAGUUAAGCCCAGUGGAUUCGGAUGCUUUCUUCUUGGCAGAUUUUUUGACGACCUUUGUUUUGGGUCGAGGGGUCUUGGCCGGUUUAUCCUGAGGUUUCUUCUUCCAAAAUGGGUCGUCACCCUGUUAAAAGAUUGGCAAAGGUUAUAAGGAAGAGUUAAGAAUGUCUGGUUCAAAUUGGAGUUAAGCAAUUCUUACAGCUAGCGGUUUAUUCAAAACGCAGAAGGGACUUAGCCCUGUUUUGCUACAGACAGCCACCGAUUCAUCCAGUAUCUUUUUAACAGCUUCAGUGAUUUCAGCGUCAGUUAACUAAAUGUCAGUGUGCCAUUGAGGAUCUUUUGAGUCCCCUGUGUACUUGCACAUUAAACCGGGGCGACAGCUUAAAGGAAAAAUACUCCAAGAUAUCCACCACCGAACAAAGUCAAUUCCUGUUAAACCGUUAGCCAUAAAGGCUCUGAGCUUUGCAAGUUGUGGUGCAUAUUUGGCCCGUUCUUUUGCAGUCAACCUUUGGGGAAAUGGAUGUGUAUUGGUAAGUCGGUGAGCACGAUAACCCGGCAGAGGAUUCUCAUCAUCAGGGGGAGUAUCAUUGCAAUAGAACCAAGUCUGGUUCCAAUCCUUAGGGUGACUAUGAUGCUUGGCGUGAGGGAAGCUGGCGUCUUUCCUUUCCUGAAUUGAAAUGCCGCCAAGUUCAGUAUUGGGCCCGUCUACAAAUUCGGUAUGGCAGUUUAAAUAGAAAAAGUCCCUGAACAGUUCAACGGUCGGUUCUUCUUAUAGAUAAGCCUCGCAAAACACUUGAAAAUUACAAAUAUUGGACACAGAGUUAGCUCCAAUAUCUUGCGGGUGGAUCUGGAAGCUAGCAAGCACAUCACGAAAAAACUUUGAUCCAGGAGGUUUAAAACCACGGUUCAGAUGAUCAACAAACAGAACUAUCUCGCCAUCCUUGGGCUCAGGAGGAUUUUCUGGGCCGAGGGCUCGUCAGUGGAUUUCACUCUAUUUUGGUAAAGCGCCAGUUAUAACACAUCCUUUCAGAUCUUCUUCCGUAAUCCGGGAUGGAACCCAGUUGCAAGCAUAAAAAGUCUUGGCCAUUUUUUGGACAACCUGAAGGAAGGUUUGUGCCGGGUUAAGAUUCAUGGUUAACAAGCAUAAAGCAUUGCAAGUUAAGAGACAAAAGGUAUUCAGGCAUGCAAAAUUGUUAAACCGGAGGUUGAUGCUAUUAUAAAUGAUAAAGCGGUUGGCGGUUUACAAGGGGACUAAUGGUAUAUGGCAGGUUAUUUUCUAAAAGAUAAACCGCCUACACGGACAAUGAGAGUAUAGAUCUGAAGCAAAAAAAUGAUUAAGUGAGGAAGAACAAGUUUCACAGUUUCACAUUAGAAUUUCAGAUCUACCGCAUGUCAGCAAAAGGAAGACAUUUAGACCUAAAAGUUGGUGCUGGAGCAGUUCAUGAAGUUCCAGAUCGGGCUUUUCUACAUAAAAGAGAUAAUCUGAUGACAAAAGAAGGACUAUCAUUGUUACCGCACAAGGAUAUAUUAGGUUUGGAAUCUAUCAUGUAGGCUAUGAUGAAGAACAAGGGAAAAAACCACGAAAACUUCCAUGAGCCCGUAUGAACCCUAAACAGAUCUAUAGAGAAGAAGAAGAAGAACUUACUGAAACUAUUGAAUGGCGGAGGUGCGUGAGCAGGGUCUGGUCCGAACAGGUCGAUGCAGUGGCCAAAGUUGAAGCAGAGGUGAAGUCCGACGGCGGCGGCGGAGCUCGAGAGCUCGAGCGACGCAAGGAAGAUGAGGAGACGAAGAGGCACGAGGGGAAAAUGAAAAUGACCCUCGGCCCUAUUUAUAAGAUGAAUGGAUAAGUGGCAGGCAUGAGAAUCGAGGAGGUUGAAAAAUGGAUAUGCAGACAUGCAGACGCCUCGAUUUUCGGAGAUCCAUUAAAGAAGAUGCAUUAAAAGAUUUGGGUUCUAUGUAAAGUUAAUAGUGGAUGAUGUCACGAUAGGUUAUCAUGGUCUUGGAAGGUGAUGUCACGGUGGUUUACAAGAUUUUUGUGAAGAUAUUGAAGGCGGAAUUUUCCUCAGUGUUGAAGAUUGACAUGAACAGGUUCAAAUCAAUCUGGGGCUUAAUGUUGGGGAUAUAACUACUGAUUAUAAACCACCCAGGAGGGGCCGGGUUAUACCUAUAAGGAGUUAUCCAUAUUGAAGCCCAUGAAGACAAGGAGCAUGGCUGAGGGAGUCCUGGAUUAGGGGGUGUCCGGAUGGCCGGACUAUACCUUCAGCCGGACUCCUGGACUAUGAAUAUACAAGAUUGAAGACUUCGUCCCGUGUCCGGAAGGGACUUUCCUUGGCGUGGAAGGCAAGCUUUGCGAUACGGAUAUGUAGAUCUCCUACCAUUGUAACCGACUUUGUGUAACCCUAACCCUCUUCGGUGUCUAUAUAAACCGGAGGGUUUUAGUCCGUAGGACGACAUACAGAACAACAAUCAUACCAUAGGCUAGCUUCUAGGGUUUAUCCUCUCUGAUCUCGUGGUAGAUCUACUCUUGUACUACCCAUAUCAUCAAUAUUAAUCAAGCAAGAUGUAGGGUUUUACCUCCAUCAAGAGGGCAUGAACCUGGGUAAAACUUCGUGUCCCUUGCCUCCUGUUACCAUCCGGCCUAGACACACAGUUCGGGACUCCCUACCCGAGAUCCGCCGGUUUUGACACCGACAUUGGUGCUUUCAUUGAGAGUUCCUCUAUGUCGUCGCCAUUAGGAAGGAUGCCCUGCCCUGUCUUUAAAGAUGGCACCGUUGCUAAGGGAGAUUUGGCUGUCGGCCAAACCCUCCAGCUAGGUGGUUUUCUUAUGACCGCCUGUUCGGCUUCUGCGCCGACGAUGACCUCUCGAUCCAUCGAAAACAAUCUUUAUGUCAGCUCGGAACUCGCCGAGCAGUUAGAUCCAAUGGAGCUCUCCUCCAUAAGCGAGCUCUUGGAUCGCAUCGCCGCCCUGGGAGUCGCUACGGAUUACGACCAGAUUGGGCCUAAACCCGAUCUGAGAGAGAUUAACUCUCCCGAAGUCACCCAUCAUGUUGCCGUGGUAGAGGGACAGUGUGGCGACCCUUCAUCUAUCUUAAGGACUAGCUACGUCCGGACUCCCGAUCCCUCCAAGCCGGAUACCCGCGGAGGGGAGGAUAUCACUCAAGACCUGAACUUAGAGUCAGGCGACGGGCUGGAUUCAUUGGACAACAUCCAGGAAUCCAAAUUUUCGAGUUCGGAAAUUCCUCGGCCUCUGAGCCUCAGAUUGGGUGAGGCUUUGGAUUUAAUUCCACCCACACACCCAAACAUAAGCGAUCUAUCCCAAAUCAGGCAAGAGCCCGAUGAAACAAUACAUCAUUACUGGGCCAGAUUCCUCCUGGUUAGGAACAGAAUAAGGGACUGCCGCGAGGAAGACACAAUCUCAAUCUUCGGCAAUAAUUGCACGGAUAAGGGAAUCCUCAAUGCCAUAAGUCGCUGUGAUAUUACACGCUUCGCUGACUUAGCAUCCAUUGUACGAAAGUACAGUCCGAUGGAAAGCGCCUAGAAAACCGAAAUAAAAUUUUGGGACGAUCCGGCCCUGGAUACAAACCCAGUCCGAAAUAAAAGGGUGCAUCAUCGCCAGACACCCGGGUCAAACACCAAAAAGCAAAAACCCUCUACAGGGCAUGGAACCGUACUGGAAGGAUGGCUUAAUGGACCCUAUAAAAUUCACAGUACAGAGGAUGCCACACCAACUCACAGCCUUAGAGCAUGUUGGAUACUCCGGCAGGUGGCCAAAAUUGGUGAAGAUCUCCUAAUUCCGGAGGCCACAGAAAGCCACCCAGAGACACCAAUACGGUAUUAACAGUCUUCGAGACUUUCGCAUCAAAUAAUAUGCGAAAAAGGACACUCCGCAGCCUUGCCAAAGUCUACAAAGUAGCAACAAUAAACCCAAGGAGUGACACGGCUAUUACCUUUAACGCCAGUGAUGAACCUAAAUUCCGAACAGCCCGAGCACCGGCCGCAUUGGUCCUCAGUCCAAUAGUGGACGGCUUUCGUCUUACCAAGGUACUCAUGGACGGCGGCAGCGGAUUGAACCUCAUUUAUGAGGAAACCCUUCAAAAAAUGGAAAUAGACUGGAACCGCAUUGAGCGAAGCAGCACAACCUUUAGAGGAAUAAUCCCAAGUCGGGAAGCACGUUGUACAGGAAAAAUCACACUAGAUGUGGUGUUCGGCACGCCGGAUAAUUACAGGUCCAAAGAGGUCAUGUUCCACGUGGCUCCGUCCAGCAGCGGUUAUCAUGCUCUGCUAGGGCGGGAAGCGUUUACAAUCUUCCAAGCAAUACCCCAUUACAGGUACAUGAAGCUCAAGAUGCCCGGGCCUAACGGGAUCAUCACUCUCGCUAGUGAUCCGGACAUAGCACUCCGCGCUGAAAACAAGACAGCCGCACUGGCCCUCGAGGCACUAUCCGAAGCCCUAGUGGCUGAGGAACUGACUAUGCUGCGCUCCACAGUGAAUAGGGACGAUGUGGUACUCGACAAAAGAACCAAGUCCACCUCCUUUAAACGGGCGGACGAAAUAGUCAAAUUCUAGGUCCAUCCAACGGACCCCAAUAAAACAGCUUCCAUCGGGGCACAGUUAAACCCUGAUGUAGACGCCGCACUACGAGAGUUCCUACGAGAGAACUGGGACAUUUUUGCCUGGCACCCUUCAGACAUGCCAGGAAUCCCACGCAGGCUGGCCGAGCACAGCUUAAAUAUCCUAAAAGAAUUCAAACCUAUCAAACAAGCUCUUCGGCAUUUAUCCGAACCUAAGAGACAGGCCAUGGGAGAGGAGCUAGCAAAGCUAUUGGAGGCCGGAUUCAUCAGAGAUAUAAAACAUCCGGACUGGCUAGCAAACCUGGUGAUGGUACCAAAGAAGGACAAAUCCUGGCGCCUGUGCGUUGAUUUUAAAGACCUUAACAAGGCUUGCCCAAAGGAUCCCUUCCCCCUCCCCCGCAUUGAUCAAAUUAUCGAUGCUACUGCAGGACACGAUUCAUUGUGUUUCCUCGACGCAUAUUCUGGCUACCAUCAAAUCAAGAUGGCAGAAUCAGACCAAGCCGCAACGGCAUUUAUCACACCAUACGGCCCAUUCUGCUUCAACACAAUGCCCUUCGGGCUAAAAAAUGUUGGCGCAACAUAUCAGGGCAUGAUUCAGACAUGCCUGGCAAACCAGAUCGGCAAAACAGUGGAGGCAUAUGUAAAUGAUGUGGUCGUCACAACAAGACAUGUCGAAUCUCUAGUAGAAGACUUGAGGCUCACAUUUGAUAACCUCCGAACAUACGACAUCAAGCUCAACCCGGAAAAAUGCGUUUUCGGCAUUCCAGCCAGAAAGCUCUUGGGCUUCAUUGUAUCCGGUAGAGGAAUUGAAGCAAAUCCAGCCGAGACCCGAGCUCUGUUGCAACUGGAUAUCCCAAAGGACCUCAAACACAAAGUUAACCGGAUGCGUGGUGGCUCUAAGCCGCUUUAUCUCCCACUUGGGAGAAAAGGCCCUACCCCUUUACCGCCUCCUUCGGCGCACCGAACACUUCGAAUGGACGGAUGCAGCCACGGCCGGACUCGACGAAAUAAAAGCCAUAUUGGCAACAAACCCAGUCCUAGCUGUGCCAAACAUUGGCGAACCAAUGCUAUUGUACAUUGCAGCAACACAUCAGGUUGUAAGUGCAGUGCUCUUCGUCGAGCGAGAAACGGACAUACACAAAUCCCCCCUUCAAAAGCCGGUCUAUUAUGUGUCAACUGUUCUCACUCUGUGCAAAUCACGGUACCUGCAUUAUCAAAAGAUUGCUUACGCGGUAUUCAUGGCAUCCCGGAAGCUACGACACUACUUUCAAGAGUGUUCAAUAAAAGUAGCCUCGGAAGUACCACUUAACGAUAUUAUAAAAAACCAUGACGCAAUGGGCCGAAUUGCAAAAUGGGCCAUUGAGCUCCUCCCGUUCGACAUAACUUAUAUGCCACGGCGAGCCAUCAAGUCGCAAGUCUUGGCCGACUUCGUCACAGAAUGGACGGAGGCCGAACUCCCUAAAGAGUACGACACAUAUUCAAAUUGGAUCAUGCAUUUCGACGGCUCCAAGAUGUUAGCCGGAUUAGGGGUUGGCGUCGUUUUGACGUCCCCCACAGGAGACAUAGUUCAAUACGUACUCCAGAUUAUGUACACAGACUCCAACAAUGCAGCCGAAUAUGAGGCCCUUUUACAUGGUCUCCGGAUGGCAGUAUCCAUGGGCAUUCAACGCCUAGAGGUGCACGGGGACUCGAAGCUCGCAAUAUCCCAAAUAAAUGGAGACUUCGAUGCCAAGGAUCCAAAAAUGGCAGCUUACCGCAAAGCCGUCCUAAAAAUGUCAGCUCGGUUUGAAGGGCUUGAAUUUCACCAUAUAGCAAAGGAAAAUAAUCAGGUGGCAGAUGUCCUGGCACGCAUCGGCACAAAACACGAUAUAGUCCACCCCAACAUCUUCUUGGAAAGGUUGUUCAAGCCAUCCGUAGUAUGGGAAGGGGAGCCGAACAAUAACAGCCCGGACCCAACCGCACUGCCCGACACCGAACAUUCUGACACAAUCGGAAGCUCUGCCAAUGAAAUAACACCUUCAGCCCAUGUAAUAAUGGCCGUCAUCGCCCCAUGGACAGAACCAUUCCUCGCCUACCUUACUAGGCAGGAAUUCCCCGAGGACCAAAAUGAGGCACGCUGUAUAGUGCGGCGAUCCAAAGCCUACAAAGUCCACGAGUGAGAGCUUUAUAAGAAAAGCACUACCGGAGUCCUUCAAAGGUGCAUCUCCGAAGAGGAAGGGCGGAACCUCCUGGCUGAAAUUCAUGCCAGACUCGGCGGUCAUCAUGCUGCAGCUCGGUCCCUUGUAAGCAAGGCCUUCCGUACAGGCUUUUAUUGGCCGACGGCCCGGGCAGACGCCCAGGACUUAGUCCAACGAUGCGUCGGUUGCCAGCUCUUUGCAAACCAAAGCCAUAUGCCACCCACCGCCCUCCAAACUAUCCCCAUCACUUGGCCCUUCACUGUCUGGGGGCUUUACAUGGUUGGACCCCUUAAAGGUGGAACCCACAAGCAAAAAUACUUACUGGUCAUGGUGGAUAAGUUCACCAAAUGGAUAGAAGCCAAGCCUGUUAAGACGGCCGAAUCCGGAUCGGUGAUAGACUUUAUAUCCGGGGUUGUACACCGUUACGGCGUCCCCCACAACAUCAUCACUGAUAAUGGCACGAACUUCACGGCUGACGAGGUAAAACUCUGGUGCAAACACAUGGGCAUCAAGCUCGAUUAUGCUUCCGUCUAUCACCCACAAACUAACGGCCAGGUCGAACGUGCACAUGGUCUUAUCAUGAGCGGCAUCAAACCCAGAUUAGUGCGGUCCCUCAAGGAAUCUAACACGCACUGGGUAGAGGAGCUCGACUCCUUACUCUGGGGGCUGCGGACCACGCCGAAUCGCACCACCGGAUACACACCAUUCUUUAUGGUGUACGGCACAGAGGCAGUUUUGCCUUGCGACGUAAUCCAUGACUCACCUCGAGUGCGCAUGUACGAAGAAAGAGAAGCCGAGCUCGAUCAGCAGGACAGUUUGGAUGCAUUGGAGGAGGAGCAUGACGUGGCAAAAGCCCGUUCCGCAUUCUAUCAACAGCAGGCUCGAAGAUACCAAAGCAGAGAAGUACGGCCCAAAAAUUACAACGUUGGCGAAUUAGUUCUACGCCUGCCGGACAAGAAAAAGGACAAACUCAAGCCCAAGUGGGAAGGUCCCUUCAUAAUUGACCAAGUCCUGACUGGUGGAGCGUACCGCUUGUGAGAUGCAUCGGAUAACCGACUCGAGCCGAACCCAUGGAACGCAGCCCGUCUCUGAAGAUUCUAUGCCUAGCGCCGGACUCUGUGUUCGUCUCCUUCCUCUAUCCAUUUUUUAUAUACUGUCUGUCUUACAUUUCUCUUCUUAUCCCCUUCCUUUCUCUUAUAGCCUUUAAAGGCUCAUCAAAUGAUGUGCUAUUCACACUCAUUAAACCUGGGGGCUUCUUUUAACAAAAGCUUAUUUAUACGGGCUUCAUGCCCAACACAUGUGUUACGCUUCCGCAUGUACCUUUUAUUUCACCAUUAUAUGCAUCGAUAUGACUUAAGUUUUGGCCAAGCUGGGUUGCCUGGCUCCUGUGCUUACCCCUACGUUCCCGAUUAUUCGGCUAGGCGGUAAAGGGAGCACCUCUGCGAUUGUUACUACCGGAUCAGCCGGAUGUGUACCUCAGACUGGGUGAAGCCGAAAGCUAGCAUUCUUAAGUGAAUAUUCGGUCGGUGACCUAAAAGAUGAUCUUUUCACUUAUCUAUUUAUGCGCCCCCAGAUGCUUUUUCCCGCGUCUUUUUCGUAGAAUGGGCAUGCACUUUAGGGCAUGCCUCCCAGGGAAAGGAACCCCUAACGGAACUAUUCUCCCUGGAAGAUGUUUCUUACUAACCAUGUAAUAUAACAUAACUAGUCAAGCACUUGUCUGUUCACGCACUAAUGACCCCUACGCCUGGUCUCCAUGCAUUCCCCGGUUCUUAUAUAACCGCAUGGGAAUUCGGACACACUCCGGACCGUCAGGUCCCAAGGCUGAAGCGAAAAGGUAGGCCAUGACAAACGAUCUACAAUCCGGCUAGAAGGCAUUAUAAAUGUCAAUUAAAUUACAUGGUCAUUCUGACUGAUUGUAUUCCUCUUCAAUACCAUCUAAUAGGCUGUCUAAUUUACAGUCCUGCUGGGAAUACUUUGCGGCCAAUUCUACUUGGCCGUAUACUAAGCUUACAGGGAUCUCCUUCCCAUCGAGCCCCACAGGACCGACCUCGGCCAUGUGGUUGGGGUCAGCCUUUGUGUACCGAGUCUUCACCAUGGCCCAGGCCUCCCUAGAGCCUUGACGGCAGGCUGAUAUCUUCCACAAUCAGAAGCGCCGCCGUGCUCCCUUUAGCUUCUCUGCAAGCUCUCCAAGACCUUCGGGCAUGGAGAUGGAUGGCCACAAGGCCUGGGCGACGCCUUGCAUCGCCUGCCGAACUCGCUCGAGCAGUUGCGAGAGCUCGGGAAGAAGGUCACCCGUCGAACCGGGCAUCUCCUCUGCAGGAUGACCUGUUAGCACACCUACAGACAUUACUCUGUUAGUCGACUUCCCCGCCGAACUUUUUUUCAAAGGUUCGAUCAAGCACUUACUAAAUAUGCCGCGCCGAAGCCGCUGAUUCUCCUUAACGGAGUCUGACAGCUGGGCACGAGCAUCUUUCAGGUCGAUGCCCAGCUUGGUGUUGGCAUCUUGGAGAUCGUUCUUCUCCCGCCUCACCUUUGUCAGCACCUUCUCACCAGCCUUCAGCUGGCGUAGGAGGUGUUGCCUUUCCGGAUUCAAUCCGGCGCCAUCUGCAAUUUCAUUUGUCAGAUUCGCACCCAUGUUGUGCUUCGCAAAAUACUUAUCUUUCGAAGUGUAUAUUACCAGAUGGGGUCUCCUUGGGCUCCCCUACCGCGGCUAGUGCGGCCUCAAGUUGGGCUUUGCACUCUUCCAGCUCCUGGGAUAGUAGGGAAUUCUUUUGUGUAAGAACCUGCAUAAUAAAUGAUCCUUAAAUCAGUUAUUCUAACUAUUUCAAGUCUCGGGGGCUACUGGUAUAUAUAUAUAUAUAUAAUUACCAAAAUUUUCUUACCCGUAUGUCUUUUACAUAUUGCUCCGUGGCUCUGGCUAGACCAUUUUGAGCGGCACAGAGGUACACAUCUCCCGAAUUGAAGGCAUCUAAUGCCUCUUGGGAGAAACAAGCGUCACGAAGAAUUGUCCGGCGACGCCUGUGGUUCAUGGCACUCUCCACCUCAGAGUUGGUGGCAGACAACCUGUCCACACCCUCCGUCGGAGGAGCGUCCGAUGCACGCCUUGUGUUCGCCUCCACCUCCGGACAAGGCUUUGGAGCCUGGCUGGUGGAGGCGCAAUUGGCAGCCUCUCCGGAUAUAGUCCGGCGAGGUCUCUUUGUCCUGAAGAGAGCACGAGUGUUAAUAUGCCUUGAAGGUGUAACACCUGGGAUAAGGGGGCGCGCCAUACCUUUGUGCUGACGCCUCGGUCCGUACUGCACCUCUUUUCUGCCCACGGGGCCCUGCGGCCCCUCGUUGGCUUGUCGCCGCAGGUUCGGCCUCCCGUCUCAAAAACCUCCCCUGCAAAGCUCGGUUGUAAUCAGGAAACUAAAAACACGAGAGGGCGGACUCCUAUUCGGGGUACGGGGACUUCGAUCUCAGUUACUUGGGAGGCCAGGAUUAGUCCUGGGUAAUCGGCCGUAAUGGCCACCAAGGCGUUGUCCUUGCUCAAUUGAUGGAACACUCCAUCAAUCAGCUCCACAGAUAAGUCCGGAUCCUCUUGAGAGGCCGGGUCGAGGGACCAUCCUGGGUCCUCGGGUUGUGGAGGAGGGCUGUUUAUUUCUUUAACAGCCUGGCGCAGUUCCUGCAUUAAAGUCGUUAGACUGAAUAUUUAACAAUGGGAAUAUAAAACGGAUGGGCAAGUAAACCACUUCCCCGGCUUGGGGGAUUGUACAUAGAAAAUCCACCCUGUGGGUUGACACGGAGAAAUUCCUCCUCUUCUCCCUUGUACAAAGCGGACAAGGUCUUUGUUAGGGCCGCAGCCGAAUCCGGUCCCUUACGGCCGUAGCGGGUGGCGUCGUCCUCCCCGUUGAAAUCCCACAUGGGGUGGCCUCUGUACUGUAGCGGCUGCACCCCUCGCAUGAUGCAUGCGGCCAUGACCCCGAUCAUGGUCAGUCCGGAAUGAGCUAACAAUCUUAUCCAGCCCAUCAGGUAACGGACGUCCUUGUCACUUUCCCUCUGAGGGCUCCGUGGACGCCAACUUAGGCGCUUCUUUAGUGGAGCACUGUCGAACUCAGGGAGGCUGAUCCGGACAGGAUCUAGCAGCGGGACGUCCUCUAUGUAAAACCAUUCCGAAGGCCAGUCCUCGGACGCCAUCUUUGGGGUUCCGGAUAGAUAUCCGGUCCCGGCGAUGCGCCACACUUCGGCUCCGCCCACUUGAUAUAUUGACCCCUUCUGAGAACGGGGCACAAGGCAGAAUAGCUCUUUCCACAGCCCUAAAUGAACCUCAACACCCAAAAAUAGCUCACAGAGGGCUAUGAAGCCCGCGAUAUGCAAUACGGAGGCAGGCGUGAGAUUGUGUAGCUGGAGGCCAUAGAACUCCAGGAGCCCCCGGAGAAACGGAUGGAUUGGAAAUCCGAGCCCUCUUAUUAAAUAAGGGACGAGGCAUACCCGCUCUCCUUUGGAGGGAUUAGGGGCACUCUCUGCUUGCUCUCCGCCAUUAUAGAUGGCAAGACCGGAUCGAACCAGGACCAUAUAGGCCGGGGGAGAAAUCCCUUGGUCUGGAGCGUCACUAGCUUGCUAUGCGGGAUGGAGCCUCUCUCCCAAUAUCCAGGCUGAGGGCUGGAAGGGCGAAAGGAGGAGUUGUGACGGCUGGCCAUGGUGGUAUGGACCUUUGUCGGAUGCGCUCUGAUGAACACUCGCGAAGGGGAGAAGGUGUGGUUUGGAUCUAAAUCCUCGUCCCCUUAAAUGGGCGGCUCAUUUACGCGGCUAGGGGUGUGGAUGUAAAAACACUCAGACUUUUCAUAUUCGUUUGACACGUGGGAGACGGCCAUUAUUGGGCGUAGAAGCCGAGGAGCGCAACAUUUACAAGAAACCGGACUUUAUUCAACAGGUACACAGAAUUUGGAGGAGAACCCUCCUUGCAAUGCCGAAGAUAAUCUGCGCAUCAGACUCAUCGUCAUUGAAGCCUGGUUCGGGGGCUACUGAGGGAGUCCUGGAUUAGGGGGUGUCCGGAUGGCCGGACUAUACCUUCAGCCGGACUCCUGGACUAUGGAGAUACAAGAUUGAAGACUUCGUCCCUUGUCCGGAAGGGACUUUCCUUGGCGUGGAAGGCAAGCUUGGCGAUACGAAUAUGUAGAUCUCUUACCAUUGUAACCGACUUUGUGUAACCCUAACCCUCUCCGGUGUCUAUAUAAACCAGAGGGUUUUAGUCCGUAGGACGACAUACAAAACAACAAUCAUACCAUAGGCUAGCUUCUAGGGUUUAGCCUCUCUGAUCUCGUGGUAGAUCUACUCUUGUACUACCCAUAUCAUCAAUAUUAAUCAAGCAGGACGUAGGGUUUUACCUCCAUCAAGUGGGACCGAACCUGGGUAAAACUUCGUGUCCCUUGCCUCCUGUUACCAUCCGGCCUAGACGCACAGUUCGGGACCCCCUACCCGAGAUCCGCCGGUUUUGACACCGACAAUGGCGUUUUACUAUAGAGAUCUAAAGGCCUAGGGCCCAAAGGCGGAUUAGGGCCCGUAGAAUAAACCGCCAUAUGGUGUGUAACUUGUGAUGUAAGAUAGGAAAGGGUAGAGACCGAGCCGGACACGUUUAUGAGUCGGCCGGGAUUCUGCAAACCACCGGGCGUCAACCUGUGUAUAUAAAUGGACGACCCGGCGGCGGUUCAAGGACAGAAAAAACAACAACUCGAGAGCCAGGCAUAGCGUAUUCGCUCCCUGGUCAUCGAAACCCUAGAAAUCCCAUCACAACUGGAGUAGGCUUUUACCUUCACCGCAAGGGGCCGAACCAGUAUAACUCCUUGUGUCCUUUGUCUGCUUUAACCCCUUUAAGCUAACUACGUUGCAAUGGAUCCAUGACUAAGUCCUCACACUAGGACAUCUACCGUGAAAAAACCACGACAAUGCCCAUACCCGAUACUCAGUUCUCCUUUGGUGGUAGUGAUGAUGGAGUUGUUGAUGGCGUAGUCUUGUCGUCCAACAUCGAGCGUAGGAGGUGCUCCAACGUACAAACAAUGCCCUUAAGUGUGGUGAUAUUCUCUUGCAACAGAAUAUUUUCACGAGUUAGAUACUUGUUCUGCACCCGAACUAUUUCAAUCUUCUCGAAAGCAUCAGUUUCAGUAGGGGUAAGAAGAUUGUAAUGAGGUUGAAGUAUGUCUUCUUCUUCUGCUACCGGAGCUUGAUCCUCCGUGGCCUCAUUGAUCCUAUCAUCCUUGUUGAUCUCCCCGGGUUCUUUUCUCUUCAGAUCUAUCUUCAUUAGCCAAGCAUCAUCGCCCUCAUUGUUGGAGGAGGGGGACGACAUGAUGCCUGGCCUUGACAAUUCUGGCAGAAAAUAGCUUGAAACAAAAGCAGAGGAUAUUUGCGUUGUAUGGUGGUCAAAACCUUCAGGAGGUUAUAUAAUGAAUUUUUACCGACCAAAAGAAGUAUCGUGCAAGAAAACAGAGUCUGGAGGGCACACGAGGUGUCCACGAGGGCGCGCCCAGGGGGUAAGGCGCGCUCUCCACCCUCGUGGACACCUUGUGUCCUUCCCGGACUACUUCUUAUUUUCCUAUUUUCUUAAAUAUUCCAAAACGGAGAAAAAAUGCUAUUAGAACUAUUUUGGAGUCGGUUUACUUACCGUACCACAUGCCUAUUCCUUUUUGGAGUAUGAAACGUUCUGGAAGGUGUCCCUUAUGUACUCCUCCGGGGUUACGGUUUCAAUAACAUUGGUUUCAACAUUUAUGGGAUUACCUGAGAUAUAAUGUUUGAUUCUUUGACCGUUCACCACCUUCGGGUUUGUGCCUUCGAAGUUGUUGAUUUUUAUAGCACCGGAAUGAUAUACCUCCUCGAUAACGUAAGGACCCUCCCAUUUAUAGAGGAGUUUUCUUGUAAAAAAAUCUUAAAUGAGAGUUGUAUAGCAAAACAUAACCACCUACAUUAAACUCACAUUUUUGUAUCCUUCUGUCAUGCCAUCUUUUAACUUUUUCUUUAAAUAGUUUGGCAUUCUCAUAGGCCUGGGUUCUCCACUCAUGAAGUGAGCUAAUGUCAAAUAGUCUCUUCUCACCGGCAAGUUUGAAAUCAUAAUUGAUCUCUUUAAUGGACCAAUAUGCCUUAUGUUCUAGUUCGAGAGGUAAGUGACAUGCUUUUCCAUGAACCAUCUUAUACGGAGACGUACCCAUAGGAUUUUUAUAUGCAGUUCUAUAGGCCCAUAAUGCAUCAUCAAGUUUCUUGGACCAAUUCUUUCUAGACCUAUUAACAGUCUUUUGCAAAAUUAAUUUAAGCUCUCUAUUACUCAGUUCUACUUGACCACUAGACUAUGGGUGGUAUGGAGAUGCAAUUCUAUGAUUAACGUCAUACUUAGCAAGCAUCUUACGAAAAGCACCAUGAAUAAAAUGUGAACCGCCAUCAGUCAUUAAAUAUCUAGGGACUCCAAACCUCAGAAAAAUAACUUCUUUAACCAUCUUAAUAGAGGUGUUGUGAUCAGCACUACUAGUUGGAAUAGCUUCUACCCACUUAGUGAUGUAAUCAACAACAACUAAAAUAUGUGUAUACCCAUUAGAGGAAGGAAACGGUCCCAUAUAAUCAAAGCCCCAAACAUCAAAUGGUUCAAUAACAAAUGAAUAUUUCAUAGGCAUUUCUUGACGUCUACUAAUAUUACCAAUUCAUUGACAUUCAUCACAAGACAAGACAAACUUACAGGCAUCCUUGAAGAGAGUAGGCCAAUAAAAACCGGAUUGCAAUACCUUAUGUGCAGUUCUAUCUCCAGCGUGCUGUCCCCCAUAAGCCUCGGAGUGACACUUGCGUAGGAUCUAUUCCUGUUCAUGCUCAGGUACACAACGUCUAAUAACACCAUCUACUCCUUUAUAAAGGUGUGGGUCAUCCUAGAAGUAAUGUCUUAAGUCAUAGAAAAAUGUUUUCUUUUGCUGGUAUGUGAAACUAGGUGGUAUAAAUUUAGCAACAAUGUAAUUAGCAUAAUCAGCAUACAAUGGAGCAGUAUGAGAAGCAUUUAUGACAGCUAAUUGUUCAUCAGGAAAGCUAUCAUCUAUAGGCAGUGGGUCAUCAAGAACAUUUUCUAACCUAGACAAGUUGUCUGCAAUGGGGUUCUCAGCUCCCUUUCUAUCAAUAAUAUGUAAAUCAAAUUCUUGUAGUAGGAGAACCCAUAUAAUGAGUCUACAUUUAGCAUCUUUAUUUUCCAUAAGAUAUUUAAUAGUAGCAUGAUUAGUGUGAACAGUUACUUUAGAAUCGAUAAUAUAAGGUUGGAACUUAUCACAAGCAAAUACAACUGCUAAAAAUUCUUUUUUAGUAGUAGCAUAAUUUCUCUGGGCACUGUCUAGAGUUUUACUAGCAUAUUGGAUAACAUUUAAUUUCUUAUCAACUCUUUGUCCUAGAACAACACCUACAGCAUAAUCACUAGCAUCACACAUAAUUUCAAAGGGUAAAUUCCAAUCAUGUGGCUGAACAAUAGGUGCAGAAAUCAAGGCUUUCUUAAGUAUUUCAAAUGCUUCUACACAAUCAUCAUCAAAGACAAAAGGAACAUCUUUUUGUAAAAUAUUAGUCAGAGGCCUAGAAAUUUUUGAGAAGUCUUUAAUGAACCUCCUAUUAAAACCGGCAUGACCAAGGAAACUUCUUAUACCUUUAAUGUCCUUAGGACACUGCAUCUUUUCAAUAGCAUCAACUUUAGCUUUAUCAACUUCAAUACCUCUUUCAGAAACUUUAUGCCCCAAGACAAUACCUUCAUUAACCAUAAAGUGGCACUUCUCCCAAUUCAAGACAAGAUUAGUUUCUUCACAUCUUUGCAAAACUCGAUCAAGGUUGCUUAAGCAAUCAUCAAAAGAAGUUCCGUAAACGGAGAAAUCAUCCAUAAAAACCUCAACAAUCUUUUCACAGAAGUCAGAGAAUAUAGCAGUCAUACAUCUUUGAAAGGUAGCAGGUGCAUUACAUAAAUAGAUAGGCAUACGUCUAUAAGCACAGGUACCGAAAGGGCAAGUAAAAGUGGUCCUUUCCUGAUCCUCUUUUGACACAGGUAUUUGAGAGAAACCAGAAUAACCAUCUAGAAAGCAAAAAUGCGUAUGUUUGGAUAAUAUUUCUAGCAUUUGAUCAAUCAAAGGUAAAGGGUAAUGAUCUUUUCUAGUAGAUAUAUUCAAUUUGCAGAAAUCAAUUACCAUUCUGUAACUUGUAACAAUUCUUUGUGGGAUCAAUUCAUCUUUAUCAUUAGGAACAACAGUAAUACCUCUCUUCUUAAGGACACAAUGGACAAGACUUACCCACUGACUAUCAGCAACAUGAUAAAUUAUACCUACCUCUAGAAGCUUUAGUAUUUCGUUUCUUACCACUUCUUUCAUCUUAGGAUUUAGCCGCCGUUGGUGAUCAACAACCGGUUUAGCGUCUUUCUCCAAUUUUAUUUUGUGCUAGCAUAGAGUGGGACUAAUGCCCUUAAGAUCAUCAAGAGUAUAUCCAAUAGCAGCACUGUGCUUUUUCAGAGUUUUCAAUAAUCUCUCUUCUUCCUGCACUGAAAGGUUAGCACUAAUAAUGACAUGAUAUCUCUUCUUCUCAUCAAGAUAAGCAUAUCUAAUAGUAUCAGGUAAUGGUUUAAGCUCAAACAUGGGUUCACCCUUGGGUGGAGGAGGAUCCCAUAGAAUUUCAACAGGCAAGUUGUGUUUCAAAAUAGGUCGCUUCUUAAAGAAUACUUCAUCUAUUUCCCUUCUUUGAUUCAUAAACAUAUCAUUUUCAUGGUCUAGCAAAUAUUGUUCUAAAGGACCGUUAGGAGGCACGGCAAUAGAAGCAAGAACAAUAAUUUCAUCUUUACUAGGCAAUUCUUUAUCAUGGGGUUGUCUAUGAAAUUUAGCAAAAUUAAAAUCAUGAGAUAUAUCCCCUAAACUAAUAAUGACAACAUCCUUUUUGCAAUCUAUCUUAGCAUUAACAGUAUUCAAGAAGGGUCUACCAAAUAUAAUGGGACAAAAGUCAUCUUGUGGGGAACCAAGAACAAGAAAAUCAGUAGGAUAUUUAACUUUCCCACACAAGACUUCAACAUCUCUAACAAUCCCAACUGGUGAAAUAGUAUCUCUAUUGGCAAGCUUAAUAGCAACAUCAAUAUCUUCUAUCUCAGCAGGUGCAAUAUCAUGCAUAAUUUCUUUGUAUAAGGAAUGAGGUAUUGCACCCGCACUAGCACCCAUAUCACAUAAGCCAUGAUAACAGUGAUCUCCUAUUUUAACAGAAAUAACAGGCAUGCCUACAACAGGUCUAUGUUUAUUUUUAGUAUCGGGUCUAGCAAUUCAAGCAGCUUCAUCACAGAAGUAAAUAACAUGCCCAUCAAUAUUAUCGACCAAGAGAUCUUUAACCAUAGCAAUACUAGGUUCAAUUUUAAUUUGCUCAGGGGGUGUAGGUUUUCUAGUAUUACUCUUACGAACCACAGAUGAAGCUUUAGCAUGAUCCUUUAUUCUAGAAGGGAAAGGUGGUUUCUCAAUAUAAGCGGUAGGAACAACAGGAUCAACAUUAUAAGUGAUAGUCCUUUCUUCAACUUUAAUAGGUUCAACUACUUUUACUUCAAUGGGGGGAUGAUAUUUAAGCCACUUCUCCUUAGGGAGAUCAACAUGAGUAGCAAAUGAUUCACAGAAAGAAUCUACUAUCUCAUAUUCAAGUCCAUAUUUAGUGCUAAAUUCACGAAAAGCAUCGAUAUCCAUAAAAGAUUUAACACAAUCAAACUUAGGUGUUAUACCUGACUCCUUACCUUCGUUGAGUUCCCAAUCUUCAGAGUUGUGUUUAAUUCUUUCCAAUAAAUCCCAUCUGAAUUAAUAGUCUUCAUCAUAAAAGAACCAGUACGAGAAGUAUCAAGCAUGGAGCGAUUAUUGAGAGAAAGCCGAGCAUAAAAAUUUUCAAUAAUAAUUUCUCUUGAGAGCUCAUGAUUGGGGCAUGAAUAUAACAUUGACUUAAGCCUCCCCCAAGCUUGAGUGAUGCUUUCUCCUUUGCAAGGCCAAAAAUUAUGUAUAUAAUUACGAUCACGAUGAACCAGAUGCAUAGGAUAAAACUUCUGAUGAAAUUCCAAUUUCAAUCGGUUGUAGUUCCAUGAUCCAAUAUCAUCACAUAGCAUAAACCAUGUCAAUUCCUUUCCCUUGAAAGAUAAAGGGAAUACCUUCUUCUUGAUAACAUCCUCGGGCAUACCUGCAAGCUUAAAUAAUCCACAAACUUCAUCCACAUAGAUUAGGUGCAAAUAAGGAUGUAAUGUUCCAUCUCCUGUAAAAGGAUUAGCUAGCAGUUUCUGUAUCAUACCCAAAGGAAUUUCAAAGUAAACAUUUUCAGUAGGUUCAGUAGGUUGAGGAGCAACUCUUUGCUCUACUGGUCGGGGUGAAGAUACCCCGAACAAGCCCCACAAAGGAUUACUUUCCAUAGUAACAAGUGACAGUAAAUUUCAGCACACUAUAUAAAUUUUUCCUUACCAAAGGCACUUCAAUCCCCGGAAACAGUGCCAGAAAAGAGUCUUGAUGACCCACAAGUAUAGGGUAUCUAUCGUAGUCCUUUCGAUAAGUAAGAGUGUCGAACCCAAUGAGGAGCAGAAGGAUAUGAUAAGCAGUUUUCAGUAAGGUAUUCUCUGCAAGCACUGAAAUUAUCGGUAAUAGAUAGUUUUGUGAUAAGGUAAUUUGUAAUGGGUAACAAGUAACAAAAAUAAACAAGGUGCAGAAAGGUGGUCCAAUCCUUUUUGUAGCAAAUUACAAGCAUGGACAAACUCUUAUAUAAAGGAAAACGCUCCCGAGGACACAUGGGAAUUAUCAUCAAGCUAGUUUUCAUCAUGCUCAUAUGAUUCGUGUUUGUUACUAUGAUAAUUUGAUAUGUGGGUGGACCGGUGCUUGGGUACUGCCCUUACAUGGACAAGCAUCCCACUUAUGAUUAACCCCUCUUGCAAGUAUCUGCAACUACAAAAAAAGUAUUAAGGUAAACCUAACCAUAGCAUGAAACAUGUGGAUCCAAAUCAGCCCCUUACGAAGCAACGCAUAAACUAGGGUUUAAGCUUCUGUCACUCUAGCAACCCAUCAUCUACUUUAUUACUUCCCAAUGCCUUCCCCUAGGCCCAAAUAAUGGUGAAGUGUCAUGUAGUCGACGUUCACAUAACACCACUAGAGGAAAGACAACAUACAUCUCAUCAAAAUAUCGAACGAAUACCAAAUUCACAUGACUACUUAUAGUUAUAGCAAGACUUCUCCCAUGUCCUCAGGAACAAAAGUAACUACUCACAAAUCAUAUUCAUGUUCAUAAUCAGAGGGGUAUUAAUAUGCAUAAAGGAUCUGAACAUAUGAUCUUUCACCGAAUAAACCGACUAGCAUCAACUACAAGGAGUAAUCAACACUACUAGCAACCCGCAGGUACCAAUCUGAGGUUUUGAGACAAAGAUCAGAUACAAGAGAUGAACUAGGGUUUGAGAGGAGAUGGUGCUGGUGAAGAUGUUGAUGGAGAUUGAACCCCUCCCGAUGAGAGGAUUAACGGUGAUGACGAUGGUGAUGAUUUCCCCCUCCCGAAGGGAUGUUUCCCUCGCAGAACAGCUCCGUCGGAGCCCUAGAUCGGUUCCGCCUCGAGACGGCGGCGCUUCGUCCCGAAAGCUUCCUCUUUAUUUUUUCUAGGGUGAAAGACUUCAUAUAGGAAAAGAUGGGCACCGGAGGCCUGCCAGGGGGCCCACGAGGCAGGGGGCGUGCCCCCACCCUCGUGGACGGUGGGUGGCCUCCCUCUGGUGCUUUCUUCGCCCAAUAUUUUUAUAUAUUCCAAAACUGACUUCCUGGAGUUUCAGGACUUUUGGAAUUGUGCAGAAUAGGUCUAUAAUAUUUGCUCCUUUUCCAGCCCAGAAUUCCAGUUGCCAGCAUUCUCCCUCUUCAUGUAAACCAUGUAAAAUAAGAGAGAAAAUGCAUAAGUAUUGUGACAUAAUGUGUAAUAACAGUCCAUAAUGCAAUAAAUAUUGAUAUAAAAAUAUGAUGCAAAAUGGAAAUAUCAAGAGUCAUAUAUUGGUAGCACUAUUUUGACCUUCAUAUGCAAUGGUCUUAGAUUUUAUUAACCAUUCUCUAACCCGUUUACCUUGUCGAUCUCAUAGCACACGAUCUGUAUAGCUAACUCGACUGCGAUCUUCGACAUUAUUGCACACAGUUGGUUUCUUCAAUCGUGUGCCCUAUAGAGCGCAGAAUUAAUAAUCGCACUCGAGUGUCCAUCAUCACCCUUCUAUGUAACUUUGACAUCAUCACCCACGGGUAAACUUAUGACCAAAGUCUUUCCACACACUUCAUUUUUACAAAGCUUUUUGCCAAUAAACGCCCAUGAUUUGUUCCUCUUCUAGCCGACGUGUGGCCAAACUAGUUGGGAGGGAAGCUUGCGUGAUAAACUAUGCAGUAAACUGCGCGGUAGCGCGGGAACAGGCUCACCGACGAUACAUUUGGCGCCUCUUCAAGCCCACGCGUGGUCAAACAAAACACGUGCGGUGCGGUGUUGUCAAGCAUGCACUAGAAUCUUCUGCUAUGAACAUCAUGACAAGACAUGACGAUUACAGGUCGGCCGGCCCCCAUUUAUUACAGUGGCCAUUUAACCCUUGUGUCUCUUCAACCUUUCGAUCGCGCCCCACCAUUGCAAGAAGCACACCCACCAUGACAAAUUCUUAGAGGGUAUCUUGCACGGCUCCAAUGGCGCUCCAAGCGGUUGCCCAUAACGAGUAGUGAUGUCUGCUUGAACUACGUCGGUAUUUGCCCAAAGAGGAAGGGAUGAUGCAACACAACAACGGUAGGUAUUUCCCUCCGUGAUGAGACCAAGGUUAUCGAACCAGUAGGAGAACCAAGCAACACUACAUAAACAACACCUGCACACAAAUAACAAAUACCCGCAACCCGACGUGUUAAAGGGGUUGUCAAUCCCUUUCGGGUAACGGCGUCAGAAAUUGACAAACGGACGCGAGUAAGUUGUAAUAAUAGAUAGAUCGAACGCCAAAUAAAAUAAAGUGCAGCAAGGUAUUUUUGUAUUUUUGGUUUAGUAGAUAUAAAAAUAAAAGUAAAUAAAAGUAGAUCACAAAGGCAAAUAUAUUAAAGAAGAGAUCCAGGGGCCGUAGAUUUCGCUAGUGGCUUCUCUUGAGAAAAAUAGAAAACAGUGGGUAAACAAAUUACUGUUGAGCAAUUGACAGAACUUCAAAUAAUCGUGACUAUAUCCAGGCAAUGAUCAUUACGUAGGCAACACGUGCAAGAUUAGUAGAACGACUCCUGCCUGCAUCUACUACUAUUACUUCACACAUCGACCAUUAACCAACAUGCAUCUAGUGUAUUAAGUUCAUGGAGAAACGGAGUAAUGCAAUAAGAACGAUGACAUGAUGUAGACAAGAGCUAUUUAUGUAGAAAUAGACCCCAUCUUGUUAUCCUUAAUGGCAAUGAUACAUACGUGUCGGUUCCCCUUCUGUCACUGGGAUCAAGCACCGUAAGAUCGAACCCAUCACAAAGCACCUCUUCCCAUUGCAAGAUAAGUAGAUCAAGUUGGCUAAACAAAACCCAAAUAUCGGAGAAGAAAUAUGAGGCUAUAAGCAAUCAUGCAUAUAAGAGAUCAAAGAAGACUCAAAUAACUUUCAUGGAUAAAAAGAUAGAUAUGAUCAUAAACUCAAAGUUCAUCUGAUCACAACAAACACACCGCAAAAAUAGUUACAUCAUAUGGCUCUCCAAGAGACCAUUGUAUUGAGAAUCAAACGAGAGAGAGGAAGCCAUCUAGAUACUAACAACGGACCCGAAGGUCUAAAAAGAACUACUCAAGCAUCUUCGGAGAGGCACCAAUGGACAUGAUGCACCCCCUCCGAGAUGGUGUCUAGAUUGGAUCUGGUGGCACUACAAGAAAUAUGUCAACUAGUGACCUUCUCUUAGUGACCCCAGCUGAAUUGGUCGUAAAUCCACGGCCAUUUCGCUUGGAAGGGCUCAAACCCUGAAAUUGCUUACACCAAAUGGUCACAAAGCAGACAAGAGGCGCCAAUGACCUUAUUUUAUACCUGAUUACGACCAAUAUAAAUGGUCAUGAGGUUGUGAACGUGGAUGCAUUGGUACUUAUUUCUAUGACUAGGCGCCACCUCAUCAGUUUUGCCUAUGUGUCAUGUCCAUGUGUCAAUUUUUGCCCUAGGUUGUGAAGCAACCUAUAUUUCUGUCGUUCCCAAAAUUCCCAAAAAAUUUGGCAUUCUUUACUAUCCAAAUCAUUACCUCAUGACAAUAUUCAAGUCCAUUUGCCUAGUAAAUCUUCCUCGGUAAAUUUUCAAAGUUUUUGUUCAACUCGAACUGUUGUGAAGGAAGUACUAGCUAGGCAUAUGCUAAUGAGCUGAAUUUUUGCCACAUCUUCUAUAUUCCCAAAUCAUUGCUCUCCACAAAAUUUGAGCCCCAUCUAAUAAUACAUGUGAGUGUGGCUUCAACAUUCAUAUUUCUGUCCAGUGUGGUACGUUGCAAAGCAAGUGACACCUAGGAUCCUCCAUUUGAGCUUCAAAUUUUCCAAUAUAGUGUUCUUAGUAGAUGAUCAUCCUCGGCCAAAACUCAGGCCCAUUGGCCAUGUGCAUUUCCCGUACCACUAAUCAAACACUUGGGGUGCUAAUUCGUGUUUGAGCAUUGUUCGGUCUCCUCGUGAGAUUCUUUAGUUGUUAUUUUCUUCCAAGCAUCUACCUGGGGAGUGCCAAACCUACUAGACAUGCCUAGGCUUCCCAGAACGCAUGGCAACGCCACGGUCACGCAGUGACCACGCGGUGGGCAUGCGAGUCUACGCGCUUUGGAGUUGGGGCCCUCGGCCACCGUCCAAACCUUAACGUAUCACCACCAAACCAUGUAUUUAUGCUUAAAUAUAUACUUAUGUACCUAGAAAUGAUUUUUGGAAAAAAUAAAUAGCAAACUAUGAGGCAGCUACAGUUCAAAUUUGACCCGCUUCCUACUAAAUCGGCGGGAAUUUGUCUUUUUCACCAGAGAUGGAUCAAAGCUUUUGACACCCAACCAUUUUUCAAUUGUGCAUUAAACAUGGCCUAGUAUUUUAGAAAAAUGAUUUGGUCCAAUUUUGCAACAAAUAUAUGGUAGUUCCUUCACACAAAAAACUCAUUUCGGGCACUCGAAAAAUAGAAAAUGAUUUUUCCAUGCAAAGAAAAUGAAAAAUGCAUUAGGCAACAUUGUUCAGAAUUCCAAGAUGCACCCUUGUGCACAAUAUGAGAUCAUUUGAACAAACUAUGCCAUGAAUGUGGCCAUAAGAUUGAUCAUUUGGCUUGAAAGCCAUGAAUCUUCACGCAUGAUAGCUCAUUUCUGAGAACACUUUUUAAAAAUAAUUGCCGUGUUACAAGUUUAUUGUUUUUCCUGGAAACUUGGUCACAUAUGAUGACACAAUACGAAGGUUUUCCAUUUUUUAUUUUUUUUAUUUUUUAUGCCCGUUUCAAAAUGCGAGCAAAACGACGGGCUUGACCGUUCCUAGCUAGUUGUUGAAUCUUCGAAACCUUUUGUUGUUUAUCUGAUUAAAUAGAUAGUUAUGUACCUAGAAAUGAUUUUUGGAAAAAAUAAAGAGCAAACUAUGAGGCAGCUAGAGUUCAAAUUUGACCCGCUUCCUACUAAAUCGGCGGGAAUUUGUCUUUUUCACCAGAGAUGGAUCAAAGCUUUUGACACCCAACCAUUUUUUCAAUUGUGCAUUAAACAUGGCCUAGUAUUUUAGAAAAAUGAUUUGGUCCAAUUUUGCAACAAAUAUAUGGUAGUUCCUUCACACAAAAAACUCAUUUCGGGCACUCAAAAAAUAGAAAAUGAUUUUUCCAUGCAAAGAAAAUGAAAAAUGCCUUAGGCAACAUUGUUCGGAAUUCCAAGAUGCACCCUUGUGCACAAUAUGAGAUCAUUUGAACAAACUAUACCAUGAAUGUGGCCAUAAGAUUGAUCAUUUGGCUUGAAAGCCAUGAAUCUUCACGCAUGAUAGCUCAUUUCUGAGAACACUUUUUAAAAAUAAUUGCCGUGUUACAAGUUUAUUGUUUUUCCUGGAAACUUGGUCACAUAUGAUGACACAAUGCGAAGGUUUUCCAAUUUUUUUUAAUUUUUUAUGCCCGUUUCAAAAUGCGGGCAAAACGGCAGGCUUGACCGUUCCUAGCUAGUUGUUGAAUCUUGGAAACCUUUUGAUGUUUCUAUGAUAAAAUAGAUAGUUAUGUACCUAGAAAUGAUUUUUUGAAAAAAUAAAGAGCAAACGAUGAGGCGGCUACAGUUCAAAUUUGACCCGCUUCCUACUGAAUCGACGGAAAUUUGUCUUUUUCACCAGAGGUGGAUCAAGGCUUUUGACACCCAACCAUUUGGUCAAUUGUGAAUUAACUAUGGCCUAGUAUUUUAGAAAAAUGAUUCGGUCCAAUUUUGCAGCAAAUAUAUGGUAGUUCCUUCACACAAAAAAACUCAUUUCAGCCACUCGAAAAAUAAUUAAAAAUAGAUAGAAAGAUCAGAAAUGCAUACGAAUUGGUGCUCAUCCAUAAAAUGUGGUCUAACUUGAAUGAAAAUUUGUGUGAUACCAUUUUGCAAAAUAGUUUUGAUAGCUACUUCACAAAAUCCCUCUAUUUUUAGUACUUGAAAACUAUUUUAAAUCACUGAUUUUCUGAACCAAUCAAUACUCUUCCCACGGAUCGAUGACAUGGUGCCCAUCCAUCCAUCCAUCCAUCCAUAUCUCCAUCCAACAUCCAUCCAUCCAUUCAUCUACAGAAAAAAGAAAAGAAAAAGUGAUACCCCCCCCACACACACAGCCCAAACCCUAGAUCAGAUCCCCCCAUCGCACCCCUCUCCCUGCUCCCAAUCUCCCCGCCGCCGCCACCUCCUCCCCGUACCCGCGCCCCUCUCGAUCUCGCCGUCCUCUCCCACCCACCGCCGACUUCGCCGUCCUCCUCACCCACCACCUCCGACCACGUCCCUCCCUCCCCGCAUCUCCGGGCCUUGCAGCGCGCCGCCCCGAUGCCAAGUCCCUCCUCGCCGUUCCUGCGCCGCCGCUGCUCCAAUCCAACCCCGAUUCGAUUCCGGCCGCCGCCACCCUCUCCUCUCCUCUCCUCUACGGACCACUACGAGCGGCAAUGCACGGAGGGCGCUCGGGGGGAGGUAGUGGGGGGCUGCGGAACCCCUGCCUGACGAUGCACCAGUCAUGGGCAUCGCUGCUGGUGCACGGCACCAAGCGCGUGGGGGGCCGCUCCCGGCCGUCACCGGUCAUCGGCUGCCUUGGAUCCACGCCGCCUCCAAGGUGCCCAACCCCGACAUCGUCGCCGCCAUGGAGGACUUCUACCGGGAGAUCUACGCCAUCGACGGGGUCCACCACAUCGACUUCCCACAGCACUACCCCGUCUCCUGCCUCCUCGGUCCGUAUCCAUCGUCUUCCUUGCUAGUUACCGCCGGCGCCGCUGUUCCUCUCAGCUUGCUGAUGCCAUUGCCUAUUAUUGCUUAGGAUGCUUCAAGGUGGUCGGCUGCGUCCGGUCUGCUGGGAGGAUGUGCCUCAAUCAGUAAGACAACCUCAUUCCUCUCCUAUCCAUGGCCUGGAUUUCUACAGCUUGUCAUGUCAUGCCACUCAAAACAUUGGUUAGGACCUGUUCGGAAUAGAGCCUUGUAAAACAGAGGAAAGCAAAAAAGUAGAGGAACGUGAUUAGCAGCUAGUGGAAAAACAGAGGAAUAAAAACAAUGGAAAGAAAUGAAGGUUGCAUGUUUGGUUAUGCAUGGAAACUUUUCCAGCGAGAGAUAUCUUACUAGAAUAUUUUAUAUGGCUUUGCGAGAAUCCACAUGUUAAACCCCCCAAGACCACCGAUUGUAUCUGUCAGUCGCAAUUAGUAUGCUGUCAUUGGUUAGUUUCACAUCCCACCUUGUCAAAAUGCUGCUGAUCAUUGCAUCCACUGUAUGCGCCUGAGACUUUGAUGCCUGCUGUUUUUCUUCUUAAGUUGUCAUUUAGUUCCUGAUUGGUGAUUUUCAUCAGUAAAUUGUUGGUCAUACGAGUCAAGCUUGUGCUCAAUGAAAUGUUAUAUUUUGCUAAGCUUGUUAUUUUCAUACUAAAUGAAUGGUAUUUCAGUAGGAGCAAUAUUAUCUUAUUGUGGAUGACACCACCAUCCUAUCUACAACACUUGCUCUGGCAAUUAGCAGAGAAUGAAUUAAUUUGACAACUUCCAGCGGAUGUUUAUUAUACUAUUGAGUUGAAUUCAUGUACUGCUAGCUACAAGAUUCUAUAGUCUAGAUACAUGAUGCAAAGUAUGUUGUAUUUACACACUUACAUCCAACUGCAGUAGCGGCAUGGGCGAGUUGAGGUGGGGGACAGAGAGGUUGUGUCGUGCGGGUUCUGAUCAAGCUUUAGCAGCACACUUUCUAGUGUUGAUCUGAGCAAAGGAUGAUGCAAGGAUGCUCCUCCUUGUACUGCAUGCCUUCAUUGACUUGAUUCUUUGACAGGGAGAUAUUUAAAGCCUUCACUUGUUCAUUGUGUCAUCUGCUGAUUACUUUUUCUAUUAUUUUCUUGCAAAGCAUGUAAUGGUUUGGAGUAGUUGAUCAUGGCCUGAUGGAACAUUCAUGUUGUUAGAAUGUACAUAUACACACACACACACACACACACACACUAUUACAGCAGCUUGUUGAUCAAGCGCUUCUUUCUAUCUAAAUGUGUGCACAGAAGUUCAGUUACCUUCUAAAAAAUUAUUGGUGCACUAUCUAUCUAUCUAUAUAUACACACUAUUACAGCAGCUUGUUGAUCAAGCGCUUCUUUCUAUCUAUAUAUAUACACUAUCUAAAUUGUUUACAACGGCAUUAUGCACAUGAGGCAGGACUAUACAAGUGAAUUGUCACAGUAAGGUCCUUCCAUGGAUUUCAUGUGGCUCCUUGAGUUGUAAGAUGCAGCUCCAACAUUGAAUAUAUUUUGAAUGUUUCCAAAGAUACUCUCUGUUACGUUUACUUCAAUAUAUACAUGCAUGUUACUGAUAGAAGCUGGCUGCAAGAAUCCGUAUACAUAUAUACUCUCUUGUACAGUACAUUGCUAGAUCACUCACUAGGCAUUAUGUAAUACUACUAGGAGAUAUGGGUGAGGGACUAAAAGGAUGAUACGCUUCCAUGAAUUUAUUUGUAAGAAGUUUUUCUUGGCUAUGUACAAAUCAGCCCAAAUGAAUUUAUGUUCUUUUUUACUUCCAGAGUUAUAGUGCACUCAUAGUGUCAUCACAUUGCGUGUUCUUGCUGCAUAUACCUCUCUAUUUGCUUAGGCAGACAACUACUUAUGUAAUAUGCAAACAACAGCAACAGAGCUAGUGAUGCUAAUUCUACCUCUUGUUACAAAAUCAGAAUUCCUCUUGUUGCACAGGACAACUCCGUUUCCUC